GGAGCUGAGGCAGCAGCAGCAGCAGCCGGGGUGGCACGGCGGCGACCACGCCGCCGCGGCGGGCGGCAACGGCAAGAGGGCCAAGGUGAUGCACCUCCUGCUCUGGGGACCCAAGUGAUCGAUGUAUCCGAUCCGCUUAUCCGGCAACCUCUCGUGGCGCUCCGGCGAGUGUUUGCGGCGGCGGCUCGGCUCCGGCCGGCCGGCCGUGUACCAUGGCCGGACUGUAUUGUAAAUUUGUACCAUGGCCGGACUGUAUUGUAAAUUUGUACCAUGGUACUAGCUAGUACUAGUUGCUCCCUUGUCUUGCACCGGCCUCUUGCUGUUUGCUCAGACUGCUCGUCGCGUCGGUCAGUUUGGGUGUCAACUGCUGGAAGCUAUGGCUAGUAAGCUUUCUGUAAAAUAUACCAAGUCUGAGUGGUGUUUCUAGGUGUGAUUUAAAUUUGGAGAAGCAGAUUAUACCCCUGUAAUCUUAAAUUUGCCUGGUUGUGCCUGUGAAAUUCAGUUUUCCGACGCUACAUGCUUUCCCUUUUGGUCUUUUUUUGUGUGAGGGUUGCUACUUGCAAGUAGUUCAAAGUCCCAGAUCGGGAAGGUUAAUCAGCUCUUUUGCUUGAAGUUUUGUUGAAUCCUGAUGCGGUGCUAACAUCAAUUUUGCUGAGAACUGUGCGCUGUUUUGCAGCGGAGUUUUAUCUUGAAACUGGCGCACAGAGUUUGGAGUGCUUCGCUUCUUCGCAUCAUGGAAGCCAUGGAUCAACCUAGUUUCUCUUUUAGGUUGGCCUACCUGGUUUAGCGUGAAAGAAUCUUGAAAAGAGAACGUGAACAAGAAAAAGAAAGGAAUUUAAAUACUAAGGAAAGGAGAGAAAAGGGAAAGUGAACAGAAAAGGGACUUCAAUUAUAUCCAUAAAAGGUGAGAAGAUGAAGAAAAAAAAAUGUGAAUGCCUAUGUGCUAUCUUGUCCACGUAUGACUUGAGCAGCUGUGGAUUCUUAUCCGGAUGUGUCUCGUCUCUCUUUUUUUAUGGAACAAGAGGGGAUAUGUCCUCUACUGAUUAUAUAUUGAUAAAAGGAAUAGGAAAAAGUCUUACAACCCAGAACUUAAGAAACAAAGAAAGAAAAAAAAGAUCAUAAAUGUAAUUGAUCUUUAUAUUUAGCUAAAAAAAUAAUUGAUCUUCCUACUGAAAAAUGCAAGCUGCGGUAGCUAGAGAAGAAGAUUUCAGAAUUUGCCAUCAAAUUCACACGUCUCAUAUGAUUUUCAUGCAAUGCCGUACCGUAUAUUCUCUCCUUUCUAUGCCAUCUCAUAUUCUCUUGUCACUCGGCUUAUAGGCUAAUGGUGCUCACGGGAUUAGGCUCCAAUAAUUCGAGCAAGAUUGGCCAUCCAUUUUCUCUUAAAUGCGUGUCGUUGGCAUGCACCCUGAGCUGAGCUCCCUCCACCUCCACAAGAUGAAACAUGAAAGCGCCACAUAGAGGGGUGGGUGAGGGUGACCAGGCAACGAGUUGGUGUAGAUCCGAAUGCUUGGUUUGGAUUGAGCGGGAAUGGAAUUCCGUGAGAUCAGGGGCCAUAUGAAAAAGAAAGAAAAGGAAUGCGGGGAAGGAUACAAUGGCAUGUUUUGUAACCAAUUUACGUGUGGCCAAUUCUGAAAGGCUUGCAAAUUUGAUGGAAAAUCUUGUGAGAUGUGUAGAAAAAAGAAAUUCACAGUUAUUUAAACCUGAGUACCGGGGGAAAAAGAAGAACAUUUGAUAGAAGAACAAGAGAAUGAGAUCCCUUCAAACAACCUUUUUGUUGGUAAGAUUUUAAACUUCCUUGUACAUGGGAACUAAAGGUGAUGCUUAAAAGAGAACUGUGUAGUGAACUAGUGAUCACAUUAUUAGUGCACUGUAAGUGAGAUCGUCGGAGGAGGACAAUUGUAUUCUUCGAUUAAAAAGAAAAAUGCUGAAACCUUGGCAUGAAACCAAAAAGGAGAGAUGGAAGGAGAGAAGGGAAAAAAAAGUUACAAGACAAGCUAGGAGUAUGACGGAAUCUACAACAACGUUCAUAUGUGUUUUGCACUCUAGCUAUUCAACCAAGUACUUAACUGAUGAGGCCAUUUCUCUAUCGUAGUCAUAACCAAUUCGUGGGGAGUACCGCGCCUAGUAUAUUGGUACAUUGGAUAUGAUCCGAAUUCUAACGCGUAUCUUGUGGGGACGCUUGGAGGGCUCACGGUUUAGGUUAUGUGAUUAGCAAAUUUGUCUCCGUAAUUAACUGCAGUCAAGCCAUAUGGGAAGAGAAAAAGAUUCAUUGUAUUUACUGUGUUAUAACUCUCUUAUUAUAUUGAAGAUCGUUGAUUGGAUCCCGUGGUUUUUUUCCGCGAGGCACGUAAAAAUUGUGUGUCGUGUUCGAUAUUAUUUUUGCUUUAUUUGCUAACAGCUUACUUGGCGCUCGAUCCCCUUGCUUUAUAUGCUAACAGCUUACUUGGCGCUCGAUCCUUUGGGGACAUCGAUCACCAGCUAGCUCAUCUACAGCGCUAUCCUAUUCCUCAUCUCGGCUGGUGUCGAUGACGAACUUCCUCCAGAUGAGCUAGCUGAGCGCCAAGUAACUGGGUUAGUUGACGGGGGCGGCGUAAGCCGCCGAGCUCUGAGACUGCUCGGCGCCAUGGCACGGCAGCCCUGCAGGUCUACGGCGGCCUGCAGGACGAACCUGUUCUGCCGGCGAGCAUGCCUGUCCAGAUCACACCGAGCGAGAACGCCGCGCCGGCGCGCCGCCGAGAUCGGCGACACCCCACGCGAUCGAUCGCUUGGAUCUCUCACUGAUCGAUCACUUGAUUAUUACUUGAUCCGGACGACCUGACCGCCUCCGACCAGGCGACGCCGCACCGAGCUUUUCUCAGACUUGAAUCGCCCGCGCCGUGACGCCGAGGGCCGAGACACGCGACGGAAGUGAGGGGAAAAAAUCGGGCAAGACCACGUACGUCAACAAGAUAUUUCCGGCCGCUCGACCGGCGGCCACUCGUCGAUCGCGCGGCACUUUUUUUUUUUUUUUGCUGUCUCUUAUCCACAGCUGCGGCACCGGAGAUCCGUCACGUCUCGCUAUUAGACCUACUCGAGCUUCGCCGCUUUAUAUAACUGACCAGCUUGGUGUCUGGAGUAGCUGGUGACAGAAGCAAGAACCCGAUCGAGAGAGGCGCGUGGCGUGCUAGACUGCUAGUGCUGCGGUGGUGCAGUAGCAGCAGCGGCAGCUAGCAGCUAGCAGCCAGCAGCCAUGAGCAGCGGCGCCCGCGAGAGCAGGUGGCCGGAGUUCGCCGCCCUCGGCCGCGCGCUGAUGGCGCGCGACGCCUCCGUGCCGGGGCGGGAGCUGCGGCAGCAGCAGCAGCAGCAGCCGGGGUGCCGCGGCGACCACGCCGCCGCGGCGGGCGGCAACGGCAAGAGGGCCAAGGUGAUGCACCUCCUGCUCUGGGGACCCAAGUGAUCGAUGUAUCCAGUAUCCACUUAUCCGGCAACCUCUCGUGGCGCUCCGGCGAGUGUUUCCGGCGGCGGCUCGGCUCCGGCCGGCCGGCCGGCGGCCGGAGUGUCCUGUACCAUUGAACUACUACUACUUAUUGUACUUGUUCCUUUUCUUGCACCACUUUGCUGUUUGCUCAGACUGAUCGCCGUCGGUCAGUUUGGGUCUCAGUUGUCAACUGAUGGAAGCUACUAUAGCUAAAAAGCUUUCUGUAACAUACCAAGUCUGAGUGGUGUUUCUAGUUAAGGUUUGGAGCAGCAGAUUGUACCCCUGUAAUCUAAGAACGCGUGCUCGUGUUGUUGUGUGCCUGUGAAAUUUGGUUUUCCUACGCUUUUCUGUGCAGUCAAAUAACUCAUCCAGCUCACUACUUUCCCUUUUUGGGGUUUUCAGUUUUUGUGUGAGAUUUGCUAGUGGUUCAAAGUCCCAGGUCGGAAAAGUUAGCUACUCCGUCCGUUUCAAAUUGCAGGUCGUUUUAGUUUUUCUAAGCAUCUACUUAUACACUAUAUCUAAAUGCAUAGCAAAAAUUAUGCAUCUAAAAAAGCUAAAACGAACUACAAUUUGAAACGGAGGGAGCAGCUCUUUUGCUCUAAGUUAUGUUGAAUCCUGAUGUACUGCAUAAAUUUUACUGAGGAUUCGAGUUGUUUGCGGCAGAGUUUUAUCUUGGAACUGACAGAGUUUGGGUGCUUUGCUUCUUCGUUGCAUGGAUCCACCUGAUUUCUCUUUUAGCUUGGCAUAGCUGGUUUAGCGUAAAAGAAUCUUGAAAAGCGAAAGUGAACAGAAAAGAAGGAAUUUAAAUACUAAGGAAAGGAGAGAAAAGGGAAAGUGAACAGAAAACGACUUCAAGUAUAUUCAUAAAAGGGGAGAAGAAGACCAAAAAAAUUGUGAAUACCUAUGGGCUAUCUUGUGUCCACAAAUGACUUGAGCAGCAGAGAUGUUUACAAAGUCCAACGAGAUUUUUUUUUUGAUAAACCAAGUCCAACGAAUUAGUACAUGCUUGGAGCAUGACGCGGCUCGUCUCUCUUAAAACCGCUUCAAUAACUGAUCUUUCUACUGAAAAAUGCAAGCUGCGGUAGCUGGAGAAGAAGAUUUCAGAAUCUGCCAUCAAAUUCACACGUCUCAUCUUUCUCUCCUUUUUAUUCCAUCUCCUAUAUUCUCUUGUCACUUGGCUUAGGCUAAUGGUGUUGAAAUAAUGGGCCUAGCCCAUAAGUAAUUUCAGAAUUUCAAAUAAAUCUCAAAGGCCCAUGUGGGUAAGAGGUGGAGUGGUGCAAGUCUUUAGUCCCACAUUACUAGUGGAGGGGAGGGAUGACCAACUUAAAUAUGGAAGUUGUCUCCACUCCUCCAAGCUAUGUGUGUGGGGAGGGAAGGAGAGCUCCACACGCACGCGCUUGCUCGCCACGCCUCGACGGGCCGGGUCGGGCGAAGGGCGCGGGCACGCGGCACCUGCGUGAACAGUCCGUCGAAAUCCAGCCCCUCGCCUCAGGGGCGCGGCUUCCUUUUGCCGUUUUAUUUUUUGGUUACUUGGUCAUCCUAACCGGUUGAUCGCGACGAGAAUCGUGGGCUCUCCUAUAUAUGCGACCUACCGGCCUCUACCAAAAAAAAGAGAUCUAUUCGAGCUAGGGUUUUUGCCUCCUCUCGCUGCUGCGCCGCCACCGUAGUCUACUCCAUCCCGAUUGUCGGCGUGCACCAGUGAUUGGGAGAGCAGGUCUCCGGAACCGUCGUCUUCAGCGAUCCUGCACCGGGAGAGGGCGAAUAAGGUUUUUGGGAAGCGCUCUGCGCGACUGCUCGAUCGCUUCCUCCGCUUCGUCAAGUUCUUCGUCGACUCCUUCACCACGGCUCGUCUACCUCUUCGUCGCUCGGGCCUCACUCGUCGUCGCGAACAACGUCAGGCUGCUGAUUGUCGUCGCCUGCUGUACCCGGUAGUCGUCCAGGAGCCGGUCUUCAUCAAGAAAGAAACGUACGAUCUCUUAACUCAAAUUAUGUCUUCCAUACUAGCUAUUAUGAUCUGUUGCAGUCUGAUAGCACUGGAUAGUAUGGUAGAAUGUGUGAUUCUAUUUGCAAUGAUAGACUUGUCUAGAUCUUGCGUAGACAUGUCUAGUUUAAUCUGCAGUCUGUUCAUCGUAUUCAUGAUUUAUUUCUGGAUUAAAUUAAGACUAAAAGUGCUUAUAUAUCCAACAAAUGGUGCUCACGGGAUUAGGCUCCAAUAAUUCGAGCAAGUUUGGCCAACCAUUUUCUCUUUGAAUGCGUGUCGUCGUUGGCAUGCACCCUGAGCUGAGCUCCCUUCACAUGAAAGCGCUAGAUAGAGGGGUGGGUGACCAGGCAAUGAGUCGGUGUAGAUCCGAAUGCUUGGUUCGGAUUGAGCUGCCAUAUAAUUCCGUGAGAAGGGUCCAGCCAUAUGAAAAGGAAAGAAAAUGGAGUGGCAUGUUUUUGAAGCAAUUCACGCGUGGAAAUUCCGAAAGGCCUGUAAAUUCGAUGGAAAAUCUUGUGAGAUGUGCAGAAAAAAUUCCAUGUGUAUUUAAACCCAGGAAAAAAACAGAACAUUUGAUAGAAGAACAAGAAAUGUUCUGUUUUGGUGGUAAAUUUUUAAAUUUCCUUGUACAUGGGAACUAAAGGUGAUGCUUAAAGGAGAACUGUGUAGUGAUCACAUUAUUAGUGCACUAUAAGCGAGAUCAUCGGAGGAUAAAAUUGUAUUCUUUAAUUAAAAAGAAAAAUGCUGACAACUUGGUAGGAGUAUGAACAAAUCAAAUCUACAACAAGACAUUCAUUUGUGCUCUACACGCCAAUACUUAACUGCUAAGGCUUACUUGGCGCUCGAACCAGCUAGCUCAUAAUUUUAUCCCCAACGAACCGAGCGCCAAGUAACUGGGUUCGUUCUCGUCGGCGUGAGCUUCCCAGCUCUGAGACUGCUCGGCGCCAUGGCACGGCAGCCCUGCAGGGCUACGGCCGCCUGCAGGACGAACCUGUUCUACCGGCGAGCGUGCCGAUCCAGAGCACACCGAAAAGUCCCCGUUCGCGGCCGCACCGGCAGACAAUCCUUGCUUGAGCCGCGCCCCGGCAGCUCGAGCUCGCCGUCAGCUGCGCGCGUUCGGCCCCGUCCCCGGUCACCCGGCGGCCUGCGCUGCUCCGAACGCCGCCGGAAUUUUGUCCGGUACCGGUCGAGCAUCAACGCAAUCGGAAGAGCCUGCCGUCGCCGGCGGUGAGACUGCUGGCGCCCUCCGGCAGCGCCAUCGCGGCGACGAGACGGGGCAAACGACCAAGUCAGAUUGUUUCUCUCGCGAAUCUGAGCCGCACAGGUACGAUCGGACGGUGGUUACGGGCCCCAGGGGUGGACGGUAAAUGAAAUACCGUCCACGCCCCUGACCUGGCGGGGGGCCGCUGCCCGGGCGCCUGCUCACCCUUCUCCACGACGCGAGCGUGGACAGCACUCCUCGCCGGCUUCUGGCGGCUUCGCGACGCCGUCGACGUCGUGGAUGCUACCGCCGACUCGAGCUGUCGAGUGCCUGAAGCUGCUCGGCGCCCGAAAAGCUUCAAGAGCGCUCGCCGCAGCGAGGUGUGCUGCGCCUCAGUGGCUGUAACACCCACCAAACAUCUAUGAAGGCGAAGCAGCGGCGACCUCGAGCAUGGCCGAGCUGACGGCCAUCAGUGGCAAGGGGUGGACGGUAAAUGAAAUACCGUCCACCCCCGAGCUGGGCGGCAGCUCGAUGAGCAUGAUCGCCUCCUCUGCUCCGCGCCACGCUUGCAGGGUCGCCGCGUUCUCGCCGGUAGUGGCUCGCGUAUCUGCCCUGCUGGACAGUGCCGUGAUGCGGUACUACUGCAUCAAUUUUACUGAGAACUUUGCAUUUCUUGCGGCUGAGUUUGGUGGUAAAUUUUUAAAUUUCCUUGUACAUGGAAACUAAAGGUGAUGCUUAAAAGAGAACUGUGUAGUGAUCACAUUAUGAGUACACCAUAAGGGAGAUCAUCUGAGGAUAAAAUGUAGUAUUCUUCAGUUAAAAAGAAGAAUGCUGACAACUUGGCAUGAAACCAAAAAAAAGAACAGAGAGAAGGAAAAAACAAUUACAAGAUAUGCUAGGAGUAUGAACAAAUCAAAUCUACAAACAACAUUCAUGUGUGUUCUGCACUCUAGCUAUUGAGCCAAGCACUUAACUGAAGAGGCUUACUUGGCGCUCCAUCGUCUUCAGCUAGCUCAUCUCUAGCGCUAUCCUCUUCCUCAUCUCGGCGCUCCGCGCGUCGGUGGUGUCGAUGACGAACUUCCUCCAGAACCAGUGCUUCUUCCAGACGUGCGCCAUCUCCUCGACGGGCACGUUCUUGGUCUCCGGGAGCAGCAUGGCGAUGAAGAGCGUCAUGAGCAGCACCCACGCGCCGAAGAAGUAGAAGAGCCCGAACCGGAGGUGGCAGAGCAGCGUCAGGAAGAUCUGCCCGAUGAAGGCCGUGAAGAACAUGUUGACGGCCACCGUCACGCUCAUCGCCGGCGACCGCACCGCCAGCGGGUAGAUCUCGCUCGGGAUCAGCCACCCCAUCGGCCCCCAGGACCACGCGAACCCCGCCACGUACACGCACACGAACAGCACGAUGCACAUCGCGUACUGCUCCGAGAUGGCCCCCGUCCCGCUCAUCCCGAACUGCAGCCCGAUGAACGUCCCCACCAGGAUCUGCAUUAUCCCAAGAAUUUAUAUAUAUAUUAUAUAUACAUAUAUACAAACCUUGUUGAGUUGUGUCAUUCCUUCGUACCUGGGAGAUGAUCAUCUGCGUGCCGCCCUGGAGGAAGAGGGCGCGGCGGCCGACCUUGUCGGCGGUCAUGAUGGCGACGAAGGUGGAGAAGACGUUGACGAGGCCAGUGAUGACGGAGGAUACGAGGGAGGCGUUCUGCUUGAACCCCACCGUCUUGAACAGCACGGGCGCGUAGAACAUGAUCACGUUGAUGCCGGUGAGCUGCUGGAAGAAGGGGACGAGCAGCGAGAAUGUCAGCUGGGGCUUGUACUUGCCGCCGAACAGGAGCUCCCGCCACGGGUUCUCCACGGCCUUGGCGUCCUCGCUCGCCGCCGACAGGUCGUCGAACUCCUCGCGGACGUCGCCGACGCCCCUGAUCUGGAGCAGCGUCUUGCGCGCCGUCGCCGUGUCGCCGCGCUGGAUCAGCGAGGUCGGCGUGUCCGGGAUGGCCAGCGCGCCCAGCGCGAUGACGCCGGCCGGGACGGAGCCGAACGCCACGGCGAUGCGCCACCCCCACCCGCCGGGGAUCUUGGACGUGAAGUAGUUGGUCAUGUUCGCCAACAGGAUCCCCACCGUGAUCAUGAACUGGAAGAGGAUGUUGAGCAUCCCGCGUUGCUGCGCGGGGGCCAUCUCCGAGAUGUAGAGCGGGGACGCGUGGAUGGAGAGCCCAACGCCGGCGCCGACGAGGAUCCGGCCGGUGAGCAGCAUCGGGAAGUUGACGGACACGCCGCCGAGGCACGCGCCGAAGACGUACGCGGACGCGGCGGCGAACAGGGUCCACUUCCGGCCGAAGGAUCGGGUCAUGGGCCCGGCGAAGAAGGCGGCGAUCAUCGCGGAGAGGAAGAGGGACGAGCAGAAGAGCGUCAGGAGCUGGCUGUCGAACUUGCAGUACUGGUUCACGGUCACCUGGUGCUUCAUCUCCUCGUAGAUGGACGGGAAGAACUUGAUCAGGAACGGCUCCGUCGACGUCAACCCGGCUUCAUCACGAUCACGGCGGCGGCGGCGGCGACGACAACACAAAGCAAGCAAACAAGACCCCUCGUGUCAGUCGUCAGAGCAAGCCCCUGAUUUGGCAUUUUGGCUCAACAGCCUGUGUAUAUAUCUAUGGUAGUGCUCAGCUCACAGGUGAGGCCGAUGUCAUAGCCGAAGAUGCAGCCGGCAACGGAGGCGAUGAGGCAGGAGAAGACGACGAUGCCGGUGACCUCGCCGGGGUACGUCUUGUACCUCGUGUGGUGGUGCACGAUCACCGCUCCCGGCAUUGUGCCCGGCGCCGGCGGCGAGGGAACCAACCAACCGGUCACUUACAGGCCGGUGAUCUCGACGGGAACGAAGGGGGUGAUCGGAGGAGGAGGUGGCGAGCCCCUCCUGUUCGUCCUUGUUGCGCGGCGGGGGAAGGAUGCGUCGAGGCGGGAGCGGCGAGCGCUUAAACCGGUGGAAGGGCUCGGCGAGUGGUGCGGCGGUCCCGUCCUAAAUCGUAGGACGCGUGCUGGUCGAUCGUCGUAUGCGAGUCGUGUGUGUCACCCAGGAACGUCGUCUCCAUGGUUUCAAGGUCAACCACGGCUUUGAAGCUUCUAAUCUUGGGAGACCACGCUUUCCAUUUUUAGCAUGUUGCAUUGUAUCAUGCACUGAGGAGGAAUUGAUGCAGGAUGAGCGCCAUUUUUGUGCACGUUGUGGGUUUAACCCUGUAUUCCAUCUUUCUGUUGUAGCUCAAGAACAGUGUGAUCUGGAGGCAAGUGCAACUUCGAUUUGCACUCUUGGCUGCAUUUCAGUAUUUGCACUCUUGGCUGCAUUGGCACACGAAGUGUUAUUUAGUGCCUCAGAGUUGGAUAUUGCUAACAAUUGACUGAUUAUUUCACCAAAAAAUUCAGAUGGAGAUAGUUGGAAGAAGAAAAUUCAAUCUGAUGAGAUCGUCCAGUGCAGUUUUACGUGGGGAACAGAACUACUGAAAGUUUCAGAGAGCAAGUUCUCCCAGAUUGGAUGAGCAAGGCAGGCCAGGUUUUUUCAAAUCAAAGAGCGACUGGAUUGUGCCUGAGCUUCGCUAGUUUUCUUGUCCUCGCUUUUUUCGGUUUCUUGGCCUAGCUAGGCCUUUGCUGUUCUUGUUGGACUUUUCUCUCCUCCUCUAUUACUUUAUGAACGUCAGAGCUCCUGACUGUUCCUUUUCUAUAAAAAAAAACUUCGUCAUGUUCUUUCUUUUGCUGAGAUAAUUCACCAGUUCUGAAACUGCACCUCUUCCCUCUAUCACGGACAUUUUUACUGCAUCCAUGCUGCUCGAGUGCUCAGGUUCAGCAUAGCCAUCGUUCAGCUAACCGACUUGCAUGCCGGCAUCGGCACAAGAGGCCACCUUGCGCGCCCAUAGUACCAGUCUACCGGAGGCUGUUGAUGUUCUCCGUCAGCUCCCUGGUGCCUGACCGGCUCUCUUUUGCUGGCAGCCUGACAAUGCAGAGACUUCUACUGAUUUCACAAGGGAGUCCCCUCUGCUAAUUGUAGAACGAGACGAAUUCUCACAGACUGUUCCUGAAUGCAGCUCGUGGUAGUGCCCUGGAAUUCUGGAGGAUGCCAUCUCCUUGGUGCGGUGGUGCCCUUCAGAUGGCACACGACACGCGUUUAGGUUCAGUGGGAUGGGUGGGUGUAGUGGAAAAGGAGAACAGGUCCUCUUACUGUGCCCACGCUUGGAUACAUCACAGGAGCUGAUGAUUAAGUUGCUGCUUCUCACUAUGAUACGUGACACCACCAUCCACUCCGUAAGUGCCUUUCGAGAGUAAAAUAAUGAAAAGUUAAGAUCCACAUUUACCUUUAUCUCAUUGUUCUAUUUCAUCAUGUUGGGCAAAGCUGGCUGGCACCAAACGGUCAAGUAUAAACUGUGUCAGACAUACUUGCAGUGAAAGAAACAGUGCAUAAUAGUGUUACCCAUGGUGUGCAAGAGCAAUUAGUGCAUGGACCUAUGAACACUCUGGGAAUCUUUAAAUGGUAAAAAAACAUGCUGGAUUUUCUGAACCCUGAUUCAUCUUCUCAUAAAAUCAUCUAGUGCAUGAACUACAAAAUGCCGGCCGUAAAUUACUCAGGCUUUGCGGACUUAUUUUUCCCAUUUAACCAAGCUAAUUACAAGACCACAAGAGAUAUUUGCAAGUGGAGUGGAGACAUUCUAGCACGAGGUCCACGUGAUGGAAAGAGGCAAACCGGUUGGUGAGGCUGAGAGCAGAGCAGGUACGGAGUGGACCACAUGCCCGUACUGCCGGUCUACCACUGCUACUCUGUACCACCGCACAUGUGAAGUAUACCACUGCACCUUCGUUUGUUCAGAAUGUACGGCCAGUACGAACCUUAAGGGACAAUUAGAAAGAAAUUUGAUACUCCAGAGUCCAGUCAACAUUCUUUGAUAUACUUUGACAGGCCUCAAGCUUCAGCAAAUUCUGCGUCCCAUCGGAAAAAAAAAAAAGAUAGAUGCCUAGCGUACCGAAUGUGAAGAAGUUACAGGACAGAGCUGCUCCAUAGAUGACUACCAUCCAAAAUCAAGUUUAGGAGCUCAAGCUAGAAACGAAAGAUACAAAAAUUAAGAACUUUGCAGAGCAACUCUUGAAUGCAGUUAUCGAAUGAAUAAUCUCUCUGAAUCAAAGGCACAAAAUUGAGAAUUUCGUACGUCAAGACUUGAGUGCAAUUGUCAGAUGAACAAUACCUCGGAAUAUGCAAAGUUUUUUUUUCUGAGAGAGGACUGAAUAUGCAAACCAAGUUGCAGUGUCCUAGUGUACCUACUAAGUGCUAUUUAAUUUCAGCUACCAGCGGAGCCCAGCCAUGUACAAAGGCCAAGCGACUUGGGGCCCUUUCACCUGCAAGGAAGUGCUGCUGGUCCUGAACAGAAUUCAAUACAACAGAGCAAAGGAUGGCAAAAGUUUCUUGAAAGAUCAUAUAAUACGCUCAAACUUUUUGAUAUCUCCAUCGAGUGCCACUACAUAACGUUGCAACACAUGGAUGAGCAUGAAAUGUCUACCCAGCACCCACUUAUUUGUAGGACCUGGUAGCUAUAAAGAGAAAGGACCUAGGAGCACAAAAGGUUGAAGGGAACAAGCAAGGGUGAGUAAAUAGCCCCAGAAAUGAGGCCAUCAAGAGAAGUAAAACAGCAUCAAUGGAAUUCCAGCCUUUUAGUUAUUACGUAGACAGUAGACGCCCACUUCUAAAUUUACAACUUCCCCAUAAUUUUGUAGGCUAAUAACAUCAAUUUUGUAUCACAAAAGUUAUAUACUAGUAAUCAAGUAACUGUUGGUCAAAGGCUUGUCAUAAUGAAACAAAAUACAUUCUUAGACAGAUGAAGUAAAUCAGUAGUGAUGAUAAAUUGGGCCUGUACCCCCACUGUAGCACAUAGGCCAAGGACCACGACCAUGAGGCAUACAAAUAAAUGCAGUCCUAACAGUCUAACACUAAACACAGACCCACCCCACUAGCAGGUUUCUUACACACCAUAUCUGAGCAGCUGCACAGAUAUUAUUGCAAUACAGUGGAAUGGAAGGACAAAGGAAAAGCAUGUCCUAAAAAGGACACAAAAAUUUCAAGAGACGUUAAGAAAGCAUAGAUACAUACAAUAUGUAAUUUAAUUUAGCUUGGUUUUAUCAAGGAUAAAGAGUAAUGCAAGGUGUGCUGAGAAAGAUUUGAAGUAAAAGACACCUGGCAAAGCAACCACGUUAUACUGCCAUGCCAUAGACCCUAUCCAAUUAGUUGUAAAGGACAUCCUAAGAAGAGCAGCCCAAACAGCCAUGUCAUAUGGACAGACAUUUCAUCAGCUGAUGUGUGAUUGGCUCUUUCUGGUUAUUACAUAAUAAGAAUAUUGCUUUCCCAGUCAGCUCGACUCUCUAGAAAGUUAUAACUUUCCCUUCAAUAUUAAUGAAAUAUCCACUUACCAAACAUUUAAAUGCGAGUGCAGGACCAUAUAGACAUUCAUCUGAUCACCAAACAUUUAAAAUGAAUGCGAGACCAUAAACACAUUCAGGUGCUUGUAGAAAUGACUGAAUGACGAGAUGUAAUUUGCGGACUGACAAAUGACCAUAAACAUUUAAAAUAUGAGUGCAGAACCAUAAACAUAUUUAAAAUACUUGAUAAUUCACAUGCCGAUUGCCAAAUGUUAGAAAUGUAGCAUCCAAAUGUAUCUCAAGUUUUAAACUCUUCAUUAAACUAAUACAUAGUAACGGCUAAAUUGGUAUGUCUGUGUUAAAGAUUCAAAGUUUUAAUCUCAUAAGAAUUACCAAACUGGACCUUGACCUUAGUUAUGAAAAAAAUGCUUCAUGAAAAUUGGGUCGGGGUUCAGGUUAAAUUUAGAGAUAUUCGUUCAUAUCUUACAAAGAAAAGCAUAAAGCUAAGGCCCAAAAAAUAGAUAGGAUUAUAUUAUAUUUAUAUCCUGGUAGAACCACAAAAAGCUCAAAGCCUAAAACUAACACAUAGGAAUAUAUUAUUGAGAUAAUAAUUAUACUAAACAAAUUGGGACAAGAAAAGAAAGUUAUCUCUGAGGUCAAAAUAGAAUUGGACGCUGCCUACUAGAAGGAUCCGCACAAACCCAAAUCAAUAAAUUCCCAGAUCCUUGGAAAACAUUCCUUCCUGUUAUUGUAAUAACUGCCUACCCAACUUGCAUGGGACUAAGGAUUUGCUGUUGUUAUUAUUGUUGUUGUUCUUAUUCUAAGUACUGAAGGUAGGCUUCCAGUUAUUUACAGACACCAUGAUCCUUGUUAGUUAAUGUACAGGUCCCUUCAAUAGAAGACUAUUUAUCAAGUCACUAGAAAAGCUAGCAUUCGUUAUGCAAAUGAACUACGGGCAGUGUUGCAAACAAGAGUCACCUACAUACCUAACAUAUCCUACAGAUUGAAUAAAACAUAUCUUAACAAAGCUUGGAGUGUGGGGAUAUAACUCUACCAGCCUUCAAUAAUAAAAUCAUGCACCACCCCUACAAGGUCAAUCCUAGACCCACCACUAAUUUACACAAAGUAGGAUACACUUUCUUUUCCUCACCAGCAUAAGCAAUCUUUUCCGAAGCAGCAUACCACGCUCUUUAAGAUCUUGUAAGCAUCCUCUUAUUCCUGUAUUUUGCAAGUUGGCAAUAUAAGUAGAGGAUAUAAAUAGGUAAAGUACUUUUUUCAAUAAAGUUGUUCUAUAAUAAUUGCAGAUUACAGAAUAAGAAAUAUUAAUGAAAAAAUCUGGCAUUAAUGAAGAAAUCACAAUCGACCAGUGGGAUUCAGGUCCCAGAUUUAAAAGAUGUGGAAAAAAUGCUCAGGGGUUGACUUGACACAUAGUUUACUCCAAAGAUAAACUUCAAGCGAGCACUUGUACGAUAUGGAAACAAUUCUAAAAGAAUAUGUUGACUUCCAUUCCAUGUCUGGAGCAGUACACAUAGAUACAUUGAGUCAAAGGCAACGAUAUAUUGAAGAUUAAUAGUCAAGUACUCAAGUGGUGAUCAGGUUGUUUUGCAACAGAAACAAUGAAGUUCUGCAUUGUUCGUCAUAUAUCUUGAAAGAUUCAGCUUCAUAAAUCAUCAAAUCCAAAGUCCAGCUCCGUGACUUCACAUCAAGAGUGAUUUCUCGUAGCUUGACAUUCCUAUGCAGCCCAAGCUUUCAAAAAGAAUUGACAAAUUCAAGAGGAUGUGAAGGCUACGCAUAAAUAUCACUGCUUCGAAUAUACAAGCGCAUAAGAAGGUUCAAAGAUAAUGGACCCCUUUACCAACAUUAUCCAUAUCAUUUCACUAUGCUGUGUGGCUCUACAGCUCUGCAUGGUUUGAAAGGAUAAGACACAAGUGCAAAGCACUAAGGUGAUAUGGCUUUCACUUCAUAAAAGGAGCACCAUAGAAUUUUCACAAAGAUAUCACCCCCCCCCCCCCCACACACACACACACACAAAAUCCCAAGGUACAUGCGGGAAGUACUACCAACCAUCAGAAUGGAAUUGCCACUCACCAUUCCGCAGUGGCUUGUCACUGCAAAGCUAGCUAAGAACACCGCACCACUUCACCUCACUUAUCUCCACCACUAAUACUCAAUGGCCCAAACAUCAAACAAGAACACUUAAGACCCCCCCCCCCCCCCUCCCGACCUCCAAAAAUAGCAAAUAUAAAUUCAGCCACCUGCACAACCCCAGCAUACAAUCUUUAAGGAUAAACUAAUACUACAACAGCAGACUGUCAAUUAUGUCUUGUAAAAUUUUAGCAAGAUAGCUAUUUCUUAUUAAUCACAGUAUUGCAGAAUUGCAACCGGUGCAUCACCUCAAAUAUCCAGCAGGCACAAAAAUCACAGUUACUAGCACUGAGUAAAGCUCAUUUCCCCCAUCUGCUAUUCCGCUUCCACACAAAGUCAAUUACAAAUUUGAUUGGUUAUAGUAGCCAUACCAGACUAACUGGCAGAUAGUUAUAGACAAUCAGACUAAGAACAUCAUAAGAAUAAACAUUACGUUCAUAUCAAAGACAUUUAUAAAAAAGACACUAAAAGAAAAAAACGUAGUCAUCCAAUAAUUCCACAUACAUCUGGUACCAGCAGGAUGUAAUCUUCACAUGAAGUAUAAAUUCAGGAAAGCCUGUUAUUUUGGCAUGAAGGUAACAAAUCAACAACAUUGCAGCGCUACUUCCAAGCUACUCAUGUCAAGCUGUUGUAGCGAAACAUGUUCACCCCUUAUCAUGAAAAAGGAUCAAAUAUGGUUCCAAAUAUACAUUCAUUUUCUUACAAGACUCCAUGGGAACUGCUAUAAACAAGAUGCUUCAUUUUCUUACAAGGCUCCAUGGGAACCACUAAAAACAGGUGACAAGUUAUACGAUCUUUUUGUUAUCAGAUUGCAUGUAUCUAGAAGAAACCUGGACAGAAUAAUAUAAUGUUAUUUCUGGAUUAACCAAAGAGAAGUGCGCAAGCUCCAGCUAACUCUGAAGUUAUCCGGAAUACACAGUUAACUUACCGAUUCUAAUGUAGGACGAAACUAAUCCACACCAAAUAAAGUGAAGGUGUACUAACAGCAAUUUGUAAAAAGCUAACUAUAAAGAGAUGCCUGAUAAGCAUUCAAUUCUUUUGGGCAUGCACACAAGCAGCAAAAGAGAAGCUGAGGAUGGUAGAAGAGAAAAAUGUGGCAGGUCAGAAUUCCUCCCAUUUCAACCUUUAUGCCAGAAUAUUUCAGUAAUAUGAAUUGCAAAAAGAAAACAUAUAUCAAACUCUGUAUUCCUUGCAGAUUUCUUUUCCCCAUGUCUGUUAUCUAACAGCUAGAAAUCUAAAAUUGAUGAGCAGAAACUGAACUACAACAAUAUUUUGCUCAUUUCAAUCUAAAACCUGACAAAGACCUCCGAAUGCAAUGGUUGGAUCUGAGGACCAUCAGGCUCACUGAAAAUUAUCUGGGUAUUUGCUGAAGCUCUUUCCAAAUGCAUUAUUUCUGUUUUCAGAAAACUGGGCAGCACAUCCGACUGAAUCUUGCGGAGUCCUUGAGGGUGAUCCUCUGUAGGAGCAAUCAGAAAUAGUUUCUUCAGACAACUAGACUUUCUAAGCAGAAAUUCUACUAGUUGCAUCUCAUUACGGUGCCCCUUGAAGUUUGUCAUCUUGGCUAACCAAAGGUUUUCUAAUCCACCUUUAGGUGGCUCUUCCUCCGCUACCUCCAAGAAAUUCUCCGUGAAUGAAUCACGAACGUUCGUCGGGAGCUGCAAGUUCAGUGGAACAUGUUUGAGAAACAGAUCGCAUGGCCAUAAACAAACUAGCAAUCGAAUGCAGAUUUUUGCAAUAAAAAUAAGCAAACAGAGACCUGCACAAAGAGCCGCUCCAACUGAGGACAGGAACAUGUCUUGAGGAAGCUGUAGAUGUCAGCAAGGUUGGAGUUGGCCAUGCCGAACAUGAGGAAAUGGAGCUCUCUCAAGCUCUGCAGCUUGCUCUCCACUACGGCCUUAGCUGUGAAAGCAGAAAUGUACUACAAGGCAAAGGCGAACAAGUAUAUAAGCCUGUUGGCAAUGAAAUGGGCUGAAAGGAAAUGGCAUAGAUGCCUGAGCAGACCUGGAGUGCAAUGCUGCAGAGGGUGAGGACACUGAGGUUCGAUAGGUGGGGAACCGAGAUGGGCAAGUUGGUGGGCGGCAAGCCGUUCUCCGGCCCGCCGGAGCAGAGGUAGAGAUGCUCAAGUGAGCCCCCAGCGCCCGUGAGGAUGUUGCUGGAGAGGAAGGCGCCGCUCAACCGGAACGACCGGAGGCGCGGCGCCAUGGGGACCCGCACCUCCGUGGUGCGGGAGCAGUCGACGAGGGUGAAGGUCCUGAGGUUGGGCACCCCCACGGCGCUGAAGUCGAUGCGGCGGAGGCGGCGGCAGUAGCGGAGGUCGAGCUCCCGGAGGCGGGGGCAGGCGGCGACGACCCGUCGCAGCGCGGCGUCGGUGAGGAACACCGAGUGGAGGUGGAUCACCUCGAGCGUGGCGACCAUCGCGUUGGCGGCCGCCGUGAGGUUGAGCCCCCGCACCGAGAGGCGCGCGAGCAGGCGGCUCCCGACGGGGAAGUGGACGGUGAGCAUGCCCCGGCCGCGGGUGCCCCCGCCCCCGCGCGAUCCCCUCCCCGCGCCGCCGUCGACGCGGAGGUGCAGGUCCUCGACCUCGCACACCGCGGCGUAGUCGAGGCAGCGCCUGAGGUCCGGCUGCGUGAGCUGCCCGCCGUGGAAGGCGAGCGAGAAGCAGUCCAUCCGGCGCCUCCCGCGCCGGUCGAUGAGCCCGAACUGCUCCACCCGCGCCGCCGCCCCCGCCGCGCCGGGAGGGAGGCGGAUGCGGACCGACGACGGCUCCGGCCACCGCUGCUCCCACAGGCACCGCCACCGCGAGGAGAGAGCGCCGGUCCGGAUGGCGGAUUUGAGCGGCAGCAGGCUCAGAAUCUGCAUCCGCAGCGCGUCCGGCAGGUCCGAGAUGCGGUCCUCCUCCACCACCAUCUCCUCCUCAUCAUCAUCCUCGUGGCCCCCACCUCCCACCCGGCGCCGCUUCCCGCCGCCCCCCGCCAUUCCGCUCCGCCGCCGGCUCCUACCCGCGCCGCAUCGGGGGAGGAUUCCGCGGGGUUUGGUUGCGCCGCUCCUACAGGGCUGUGUUGUGAAGCAGGGGCGGGGAGGGGAAUGGGAAGGGAAGGGGGAGAGACGUGUGGAGGCGUCUUGCUCGCCGCCUGGCCGCUGCGGUGGCCUCUUGUGCUCGCUUCCCUCUUUCCCCUCCCUCCCUCUCUCUCUCUCUCUCUCUCUCUCUCUCUCUCUGCCUGCUGUGGUGUGUUCUGGCUGGCUACUUGCGCUGGUGGUGCCGCGCGGGUCAUACGGCUCACGCUCCUCCGCUCGCUCGCGUCGGGCCGCGCCACCCUCCCCUUUGCGUUGCGUUGCGUCGCGGGUGCGCUGCGACGUUGCUUUACCGUUCGGGCCUUUUCCGCCGGGUCGCCGGCCGCGACCUUUUCACACCAACAGGCAGCACGCACAGCCCCGCGGGCCUCGCCUUGCUUCCCAUUUUUUUCUCUCGCCCGCCGCUGUUCACACGGCACUUCACGUCCUUUUUCUUCCGUUUCGUUUCUUCCCUCUCUUUCUCCUUUUUUUUUGUUCUGCGUACCUUUUGCGCCGUUUUCAAUGCUUUGCUAAUUUUGAGCUCCCGGAUGAAAUGCCUGCUAAUUAUGUGAAAGCAAACAUUGAUUUCUUUCCUUCUCUAAUUUCCCUACAUUGAUUUAUUUCUUUAUCUAAAUUCCAUGCUUGUUUAGGAGAGGAUCUUCCAUAUUUUUCUUCAUCAAGGGAAGAAAGUGGUCCAAAGGGCUCCAGGAGCUCAGGUUAAGGUUACACUCUUGCCCUCCCUCUUUGCAGGUAUGCAUAGAAGCCAUAUCGGCGCAAUGACGGUUGGCACGGUAGCAACUAGGUGGCGAGCUUGCAAAUGAGGGGGUGUUUGGAUACACCAUCCUAAACUUUAGUACCUGUCACAUCGAAUGUUUGAUACUAAUUAGGAGUAUUAAAUAUAGUCUAAUUACAAAACUAAUUGCACAGAUGGAGUCUAAUUUGCGAGACGAAUCUAUUAAGUCUAAUUAGUCCAUAAUUUGACAAUGUGGUGCUACAAUAAUCAUUUGCUAAUGAUGGAUUAAUUAGGCUUAAUAGAUUCGUCUCGCAAAUUAGUAUAGGGGUUCUGCAGUUAGUUUUAUAAUUAGUUCAUAUUUAGUACGCUUAAUUAGCGCCCGAACAUCAGAUGUGACCCUCCUAAAGUUUAGUACAUUAUAUCCGAACAGCCCCUGAGUCAUGUUGGGUGCGGGGCAUCAGGACUAGGUGAUAUUGGCAAGGGAGAAUGGAGAGACAGAGGUGCAGCGAGGGGUGCAUAUUUAUUUGUAGCGUAACAAGUCAACUGUAGCUGUGCGCUUGCUUAUAGUGAAUUAGAAUAAACUUAUUGGCCGUAUUUCUAAAAAAUAGUCGAUUGAAUUUAUUCGGGUCCUUUUAGGAAAGUACGAAAGAACAAUUAUUUGUAUCUCUUAAACAUUAUCCCACAUUUUAGCGAACAUGUGAAUUGUCACCUUCGGUGAAUGGAAAAGGAUUAACAAAGACUUAGUAUAACAUGACAAUAAAGGGCCGACCGGUCACCAAUACUUGGCAUUGCUGAAUUAUCUGGGAGCGGUAUAUUUCAUAUUUAAUUUUGACCAAUAUUUUUUCUUAUUAAUAUAUAGUUAUAACAUCGCAUAAAUAUGAAAGUGCCUUCUAAGGUAAUAUAAUCUUUCAUAAUUUCAAACUAAAUAUCUUGAAAGAUAGGAUGAGAAGAUGCUAUAGGAUAAGUAGAUAGUAAUGUGAAAGAUAUGAUGAGGAGAUGGCAUAGGAAGCCUAGCUGAGAGAUAAUACGAUGCAUCGAGUGUGAUACCUCCGCCAUUUUUCGACUUCAUGAUAAGGGAAAGGUGUUUCAUGAUAAAAUGAGGUGCAGUGGAUUCUUGUAAUUAGUUUAGAGAUAAAUCAAAUUCUAGGAUCUCUGAUCUAAUGGUUCGCUGCGGGUAUAAAGAUAUAAAGGUUUGCUAAAGAAGAAUAACCACCAGAUUGCACUCGAACCCAUCUCCACAUGAUUCUUGCUCGUUUCCUCUCCCCUACCAAAUCUAUACUAUAAACUAUAAAGAGCGACCAAAUUAAAAACAAUUUCUACCCAGAGUUACACCCCUGUACCCCUCACAGAGGACCCACCUACCAGGCUAGGAGGGUGACGAAAAGAUGUGACGAAGGGUGGGAGGACAAAAAAACUAGAUGAUAGAAAAUGAUUCUGCCAAAACAUCUGUUUUUUCUCACCUUUCUUUUCUCCUUACCUGCCCUCCUUACCCGCACGCACGUACCCUUCCGCGCGCCAAUCACGUUCCUGAUUUUUUGGCCGAGGUCUCCUUCCUUUUCCACGUUUUCCACGUUCUGCCGUUCCGCGACUCCAUGAUUUUUUUCGUGGUUUCCUUCCUUUUUCAUGCUCUUGAUUGAUUGGUAGCCUUCCUUUUGAGAGCCUUCCUAUUGAGAGCCUUUAAUUUAGAUCCUGUUUGGCAUGACUCCAACUCUGGGUGGAGCUGCUCCACUCCAGAACUCCAGGUGGAGCCAGCUCUGGGUGGAGUUGGAGCUGUCUGGUGAGGGUGUUUGGCUGGGAGGGUGUCCCUAGCUCCAGAAAAGAGGAGUUUGAGGGUAGAUUGCCUUUCUUACCCCUGGUUCGACUUGAACUACUUAUCACAAAUAUAAAAUGAAAGUACAUGCAUUGAAGUCCAAAAUAAUAAUAAAUUACAUGUUCCAAAAUUUUAAAAUUUUGAAAUAAAUUCAUAGUUCCAAAAUAAGGUCGUUACAGUAAUCAUUGCACUAAUUCCAUGUUAGAGCAAUUGAUGUAGCCAUACUAUCACGAAAGGUAUCCAUAGUCACAAAGCUUGAUUCCGAAGUUGAUCCAUCGGAGGCAUGUUGAGACACGGCAUACUUGUUGUAUCUUACCGGAAUAGUAGGCAUGUAGGUAGGAUCUCUAUCAAAAUUAACAAAGUCCACAUCAACACUAGCAUGUUCACGUAUGAAAUUGUGUAGAACCAUAAUAGCAGCAACAAUCUUCUUUUGUGUGACCAUUGAAUAACCGGGCAUCUUGUAAAGGAUUUGCCAUUUCAUUGUUAAUACUCCAAAUGACCGCUCAAUAACAGUACGAACAGAUGAGUGUAUACGGUUGAACUUCUCUUUUGGAGUAUUUGGUUCCAUACCUCGAUGCCACUCGGGUAAGUGGUACCUUUCACCCUUGUAUGGAGCCAGAUACCCCGAAUGAUUAGGAUAGUCCGCAUCUACAACAUAGUACUUGCCUACACAUAUGUAAAAUAAGAUAAGUUUGUGCAUACAAAUAUGAAAAGAAACAUAAGGAAAAAUCUUUACCUUGAGGAGGAUGUGGGAAGACAUUUACAUCUGCUUCCAAUGCAUGGUACAAUACACUAGUGUCAUGCAAAGAACCCGGUUGACCCGCAGCCACAUAGGUGAAGCGCAUAUCAAAAUCACAAACGGCAAGCACAUUUUGAGUUGCAAUUCCAGUCUUACCAAUACAUCUCACUUGUUCUUCAGGUGAUAAAUACACAUGAAUAUGGGUUCCAUCAAGUGCACCAAUACAAUCCAUAAAGUGUGGGUAUGCUCUCUUGUCAUUCCUAAUCCUCUUGUGCACAUUGUGAAAAUUAUGAUCUGUCGGUCUCAAGAAAUCUUGUGCUAUGGCAACCACACAAUUUAGAACUUCAUGAAAUUUUCUACUAAUGGUUUUACCUGAGUGUUUGAACUUAUUUUAUCCUCUUCUAUUUGACUCACACCCACUACAUGUGAAUAGGAAAAUGGCCAACAUUUCAUAAGUAUUCACGUGCUUCGAUGGUUUUAAUCCGUACCUCUCAACCAACACAUCAUGAAGAUCCUGAAAAAUAACCUCAUUCAUCCGAAACAUUCGAUGGCACUCCCCUGGAGUGUUUACCAUCUCCAUCAGCCAUCCCAUUUCACUUUGUUGUGAAAACAUAAAUCUCGGCGGUACCUUAUCCAUAUAUGAGUCAUGAUAACUUUGUGCUAGCUUACCACAGCUUUCAACCAUUUUAAAAAAAUAUUCACCAUCAGACUCACUAGAUUCAUCAGACUCACUUGAAGACAUCUAUGAACAUUGACAUAAAUGAAAUGUAAGAUACAAUUGUCAUACAUAAAUAAAAUGCAAUAAAGUAAAAUGUACCACACAUGCGACAAAAAUAAAAUAGUAGCAUACACAAAUGACAUCACUCUCACCAAGCCAAUUUCUACUUUUCAUAUUUAUCAUUGUACUUCCUCCUAAGCCAAUUGAACCUAAUCUCAUCAGUAGGCAAGGUCAUGAACAUCUCACUUUGCUCCUUCUUCACAAACAGCUCAGACGCCAUGUAAUGUUCAUUGCUAUCAUAGCCGGCCCCACAAGCAAUCACAACCUCCAUCACUUCAUCAAUAGAAUAUUUUCUAUGUCUCUUAGAAACAUAUUCAUUGGCUGAACUUGCCAUACUUGUUACUGCUUCUUGAAUUAGGAGUGCAUUUCCAGACUUCGCCUUCUUGCCACUUCUAUCAACAUACCUUGCCAAUCUCUUGCCACUCGCAGGUGGAGGAGUAAUACCAAUAUCCUCCUCUUGUGUAUCCUGAAUGAAUUCAUCAUCUCGUGGCUCACAAUUGAUUUCCUCAUCUUGUGUCUCAUCCAUAUUUUCUGAUGCUUCAACAUUCACAACAUGAGGAGACCAAUGAUCAAUACCAAUAGUAGUGAUGUCAGAAAAACACUUGGCUAAUUCAUCUUCAUUCUCAAGACCUUCUUUUUGAACUUUUCACAACCCGGAAUGUCCUGAAAUAAUCAAAACAACACAUAUUAUUAUACGUAUUACUAACAAAAUUAACGUAUGCAAAACAUAUAUAUCAAAAAAAUUUAAUCAACUUACAGCUCUAGCUUUUUUCCACCAUUCGUCAUCCAUUGCAAUAGUCUUCUUUAUAGGAUCCCAACCAGUUCCUGUUUGCCUCAGCAUUAGUUUCUUCCAUGCCUUGAAAUCUUCCUUUAACUUGUCCCAUUUGUUCUUGAUCUGAGCCUUCGUAACUACUAUUCCAGUCCUUUCUUUGAACCCUUUCUCAACCUCAGCAUACCCAAGUGCAUUCAAGUGUGUGUUUGGCCGAUUUCCUUUUCCAACUUGUUCGGCAAAUAACAUACACAACAUCCGAGUGUUCUCUGAGUUCCAAUCAAUUUCAGGCAUCUAUCCAACUCAGAAAUGUCAUAUUAGAAUGCAUUAAUCUACAAGUCAGUUACGGUACAAAUAAAGCUCAUCUGCAUUGUACAAAAAUGAAGCCAAGGAAGUAUCGCUAAACGUGUAGCCCAGCAGUAAAUAAAUCGCAAAGAGCUAGAUCGGAUAUCAGCUCGUAUCAAGAUAGUUGGCAUUAGACAAGACUGACAGAACCUCAUCCACUAAUCCUUGGAUUUUAACCAGCUAAUGACAGAGUUCAAUCAAAGGUAUACAUUUGUUCCAAUCAAAGGAAAAAAAAUAAAUGGUUUACUCUGCAAGAUAAGUUUGGACAGAAACACACCUAAUUACAUGCUCAACGUCAAAUACAAGCAAGAUAAGUUUGGACAGAAACACACCUAAUUACACAAAGAAUUGAGAAAAAUACAGGUGGCACCAUCUGCCGAGUACCUUGUUCGAGCAAAUGGUUUACUCUUCUCCGCUUCAAUCUCUUUUAUUCUAGCCUCAGCUUCUCGCUUCUGCACCAAUCCUUUACCCCAUUGUAUAUGUAUUUCCUGCUAAUAAGUACAACAAUGGUCAUUGAAAGCUAAAAGCAGGAACUUGCUUUUGAUUAAACAUAGUUACAACUAGUAUGGGAGAGGACAAAUUUGUCAUAACACCAGCAAGAAGCUUCGAGUCUGUUCUAACUAUAACACUUAUAUGUACUAGUAUAUUUUCAGUUCAGUAGCCUCACUUCUGACUUUACCAUAGAACCUCAACUAAAAGAGAAAUAACAACAUCUGCAUAUUGUGUUUUCCCACUGAUUUUAGUCCAUAGCGUGUGCAUUGAACUGCCUGGAAGGAGUGACUUGCUGCAAAGCUGAAGGAGCACUAUUUUUGGACAAGUGAGUAAAAUGCGUUCAUGUUUAUGUACUUAUUUUUAUAAACAGAUCAGAAUAUCUAUGAUAGAUAAAGAAACAAAGGCACAAACAUAUUCUGCAUUAUGCUAAGCAAUUUCUACUGGAAUAUAACUGAACCGCUAACAGGCUACUGCAUCAAGUCAUCUAAUGAAUUGAUCUAUCCAACAGGAUAUUUUCAGCAAACUAGAACUGCUACAGGUUCAAGCUAAUGCAUCGAUCUAUCUAAUGAAUCGAUCUAUCCAACAGGGCUAAUUUCAGCAAUCUUGAACUACAACAGGUUGUCAUUAUGCAUCGAUAUAUCCAGCAGGCAAAUUUUAGCUAACAAGACUCUAAUGUUCAGAAGCUAGUACACAAAUCAGUUGCUACAAUAAUGUAUGGAUCUAUAACAGAGCAUGCAACCCAAUUGCACCAGCAUUGAACGGCGGCCGAUGGGCACAGCAGAACAUGUAACGGCGGCCGGUAGCAAAAACAAAACAAAGGAGGCACCGUACCUUGUGAACGGCGACCGGUGGGGGAUCUCCGGACGGCUGUUGGCGGGCCCUGCGGCCGACGGUGGGGGGCUGCGGCCGGCGGGGGAUCUCCGGCGACGGGGGGUGCGGCCGGCGUCGAGGCUUCUGCAGCAGGCGGUGGAUCUCCGGUGACGGGGAGCUACGGCCGUCGGUGGAGGGUUGCGGCUUGUGGGGGAUCUCCGGCGACAGGGGCUUGCGGCCGGCGUUGGGGCUUCUGCAGUAGGCGGCGGCCAGCGGCGGGCCUCGUGCAGAUCUGGUGGGAGGCGGAGCAAGGCGGGCGGGCGGGGGUAGGAGACCGGCGGCGGGGCUGGGCCGGCUGGCGGCGGAGGUGGACAGCGGCCGUCGGUCUGCCUGGCGGCGGCAGAAACCCAACCGGCGGCGGUCUCGUGAGAAAAGUCGGGACGGAGGGAGGCGCAGGACGAGGAAAAUGAGAUGCGCGGGGAGACUCGGAGAAUAGAAUCGAAAUGUUUUUUUCCGUAACCAGUGGUAUUGGUGGGUAAUUACCCACCAACUCCACGAGGAGGUUCAAAAGAGAGGGUUCUGGAGCAGCAAAAGAGGUGCUCUAAAACUCCAUCUUCAUUUGCACUACAACUCCAUGGAGUUGGCAGCUCCAUGGAGUUUUGGAGCUGGGGUGUUUGGCUGAAUUUUUUAGUGGAGUUGCUAGAGUUCAGGAGUGGAGCCAUGCCAAACAGGGCCUUAAUUUCAUUCCUAAUUUUUCUCCAUGGUCUCCUUCCUUUUCCAUGCUAUGUCGUCCCAUGACUCCAUGAUUUUCUUCGUGGUUUCCUUCCUUUUACAUGCUUUUGAUUGAUUGGUAGCCUUCGUAUUGGGAGUCUUCCUUUCAAGAGCAUUUACUUUAAUUUCGUUCCUAAUUUUUCUCCAUGGUCUCCUUUCUUUCCAUGCUCUGCCGUCCCGCGACUCCAAGUUUUUCUCCAUGGUUUUCUUCCUUUUUACACGCUCUUGAUUGGUAGACUUGCUAUUGAGAGCCUUUAAUUUAUAGGCACGACAAUGGCAAGUUCUCUCCUACAUCCAGAUCUCCUUCUUGCUUCACAUCCUCCUUCCACCGAGGGGCUAUCGCCGGACCUCCACGUCCUCACGCCAGAACUCAAUCAAGAUCAAAGGGCUACCGCUCCUUCCACCGAGGACUAUUGAUGGACUUCCACGUCCUGGUAGUGGAACUACAUGCUGGAACUCAAAUGGCUGUCGAUCCCUUUUGAUCAAUUUUUUAACUGCUCGGUGAAGGAAGGCCACUGUUGCAAGAUCACCACGACAAUCAAGUAAGGCCCUAAACAUUCAUCUUCUUCCUACUAUAUAAGGUAGUACUGCAUGUUUGAUCAUGUAAUUUUGCAACGUGAUGAUUCCAUAUGUUCUCCGCCCUAGAUCACAACAAAACAUUGUCAGAUUUAUAAUCCAUUAUGUUUGUGUACAACUCCAAAAUAUCUAAAUAUCUAAGAGUGAUAAUCCAUGAUGUUUUGAGUUCAUGACAUUGUUUGCAUUAUACAUGAAUCCGUCAAUGCCCUAUAUCUUGUGUUUAUGCUGAAGAUUUUUUGCCGUUACAUAUUAUUCCAUUAUCAUUGUAUCAUGUUACCUGUGUUGCUCUACAAACAAUGAUAAAUUCUUUUUUUACUCGCCAACAGUAUAUACAUCCAUCGAAUCUUUCAUUACAUGAUAUCUGAUCAAGAUAGGAUCGUUGAGCCAUCUUGGAGAUGUGACAAACACGCACGUAAGCGGAGCAUCAAUCUAUGGUGUUAAAAGACCUAGAGAAGGUAUCUAAUCUUUGGUUGAAUCCCAAUGUUCUAGUUGCACAUAACAUAUUAAGGACACUUAUCCAUGUAUCCUUUUGAGCGCAGCUGAAAAUGUUGAUGAUGCAGAAUGUAAGCAGUAGAAAGCAAGGGAAUGAUAUGCAAAUAUGCCAUUGGAGAAGAAGGCAGAACAUAAUGAAAAGAGAAGGGAAGAUUAUCAGCAUAAAAAGGCGGAGAGACAAUCAAGUAAUGGCAUGCUGGAACCUCUCAGGCAAUCAGGUAGUGUCAUGCAUGAACCUCUGGAAGAACCAUCUAGUGAUGAAUCACCUCUGGGACAAUCAGGCAAUAUCUUAUAUAUUCGUUAAAAAUUAUGAGUCAGUAUAGUAGGAUCCUUAAGUUAUGAUAUAGUUUUUUUUUUACUUUCACAGGGAUAUCUCAUGAUAUUGGAUGGGGUGAUGUUGGUGGGGAUUGGCUUAGUAGGAACCCCAGCUAUACAAUACUACUGAGAACUUAUCAUAUACUGCCAGCUAACAUCUCUGUAUCAAGCCUGGUAGUAGUACCUUGACUGAUGUUCAAUAGUUUUUCCAAUCGAUGUCUUUAAGCAUUUACAAUUUGCAUCCCAGAUCUUGUUGAGGUGCCUAUGAAUGUUCUAGGAUUGGAUGGAGUCAAGGAAAUGGAUGAUGAUAGAAGGCAAAUAUUGAAUUAUCAGGGAGAAGCAAGCAACGUGGGUGUACAAACAUCUGACUUUGCAUUUACUGGUAUGGCUUAUAUGAAACCCAUGUAGCCCUAGCGUAUAAUCAUACAUGCAGGAUAUCGCCUCUAACAAUAGGCAUGUAUAUUUUGAUAUUUGAAGAUGUACCAGUGAUCAGCACUAUCCCUAAUGAUGUGUCACUACAAGAUCUGAGAGUUGAGGAAAGCAUAGAAAAGGAGGGGCAUACAUUUGCAAUGUCAACUAAUAAGAAAAGUGAGAGGAAUGCCAAAAGAAGAGUAAAUUACCAUCGCUCGAAGUGCCAGGAAGACUCAAUCUGCCUCGACGAACACCUAAUGUCGCCUUCACUAGUAUGCACGUUAAUUUUUACCUAUAAAUUUGAUGAAUUUAAUUUGAUGGAGUUCUAGCGACUUGCAAUUAUGCUAAUUUUGCUAAUUUUGCAUUACAAGCAGGAGAAAUUGGAACUAGACAAUAUGUGGUAACGGCAAAUGUUGCAACUCCAGAUGCAGGAUUGAAAUUGUACUAUCUAUGUUUAAAAUUUUAUUUAAACACAUGGAUGUGUAUAUAAGUUUUUUUAAGAAGGUGACCAACAUAUUGGAGUAGAGGUGUCUCCGAAGGAACUGAAAAGGUUAAGAGAAAGAAAAAGAUAUGCUGAAGUAUCUGACUUUGAAAGACAACAGAAGAUAUUAAAAAAUAACAAUAUACGGCACAAUAAAAUUUCUAAACAAGGUACUAUAUUUGAGCUAUUUUUUUCAAAUUCCAUUAAUUGUUUUAUACUAGAUAUAAUUAUGUUGUUCCAUUUUUGGGCGAAUGUUUCAGAUAUAGGGUUACAGACCCCUAUUGGAAUAUUGCAGUCUACUGUAACCCAGUUAGGAUCUGUUCCAAGAACAAGGGGUUCUAUUAAUAAUGAAAAUGAUGAACCAAACCAAUCCGGUUUAUGGGAACCAGACAAUCCACUACACGUAAUAGAAGGUAACUUUAAAUCACUUGGUCCUGUAUAUGAUUUUCAUUGUCCGUUGAUAGUAUCCCAAUUAAUAUAUUAUAUUAUAUUAUGCAAUGAAACAGAGAAUGAUUUAGAUGAGGUGGAUCCUGACCAAGAAGGAGAUGACAAGUUAGAUCAUGAUGGAGCGAGGUUAUUUUACCAACAAGGUACGUUAUAUAUUAUUGAAAUGAAUGUAACUUUCCUCUCGCAACAAGAUGGUUUAUAAUUAAUUAUUGGUUUGUGGCAGAUACCCAUUACGAGUAUUAUAGAGAUUCGGAUAUGGCUUCUAAGGGUCCUGAUCCAUUUGAUGGAGUGUACAUGAACCUUCCUAAGAAGCAUCAUGUGUUGAAGAAGGCCAAAAACUGUGAGUUCUACAAUGCGAAGAAGUUCCCUGGUAAAGGACAUGCUUUCUGUUGCAGGAAAGGGAAGGUCCACAUAUAUAUCCUAGAAGUACCGUCUGAGCUUCGCCAGUUAUUUACGAGUCAAAUGGACAAGGAUGCAAGGUAUUUCAGAAAGCACAUAUGGUACUUCAACUCACAUUUCUCUUUCACCAGCUUUGGGGUUUCCAUUGGUCGUUGUCUCGUGUCUACAAGAGGUACUGGUGUGUGUACCUUUGAGGCACAUGGCCAGAUUUACCAUAAGCUCGAUCCACUUGUGCUGGGUGGGAAAGGGCCAAACCAUAUGCAGCUCUACAUUUUAUGACAUGGAUGAUAGUAUUGCUCGUCAUGUUAAGAGGUCCCCUAAUCUUAAUGAGAACCUGAUCCACUUGAUUCGUGGUAUUUUACGGGACAAUCCGUACGUCCAAGUGUUCACGAGCCUAGGUACUCUUGCAAAUAUUCAAGAGUACACGAUUGAGCUGAAUACCAAGAUUUCUGUUGAUUAGAGGAGAUAUAAUGCACCCGAAAUGGAGCAGAUUGCAGCUAUCUGGGUCGAUGGCAAUGACUCUCAGCACAAGUUCUCUUGGAGCAUUGUGAUAUAUGGAAAAUCAGAUGAUCCACACUAUGUUAGGGCGUACCUAUUAUGACCCAUUAGCAUAUCAUUUGUCUUUCCAUGGUGGUGAGACUGGCUGGGAAGACAAGAUGAUAAAGUUUCGAGAUCCACCACCAUCAAGCCAAAGCAUAAGUAUACUAAGCGUAAGAGGAAAGGUAUGCGUAUUCCACCUUUUUUUCAUACUUCAUCCAUAGAUUCAUUUCACUCACUGUAUGAAAUCUGAUGAUUUAUGCUAUAACAUAGAUGGAACUGAAGCCGAUGUGGGUGACUGUACAAACAAUGACCACUGUGUCGUGCAAAGACGUACAAAAAGAGCCGCUCAUGGUAUGUACCAUUUUUCAUGUGCUUUCAUACACACUUUACCUCACUUUAUUUGUAAACUAUUUAUUUACUUUUGCCUCGUAGAUUCGCAUAUUGUUGAAGCAGAUGACACAUCAUAUGUUGACUACAUCAAUGAGGAAGGUGUGUAUGCAGAUAUGCCAUAUUAUAUAGUUCACAAAUCUAAGAUUGAAAAGUAAGAUGACGAUUCAAUUUUCCAUAAUUUUACAGGAGGUGGUCAUGAUAAUGAUAAUGAGAGAAGCAUGUACAGCGAUGUUGAGGGCCUAGGUACGAGUUUCAGAUCAUCUGCAUCUAUUAUAAAAUGCUAAAAAAUUGAAUAUUGAUUGUUUUACCUAAUAUGUUCACAUAUAUAUUUGUUUUAUACACUGGAGGAUCACGUCUUUAUGUUAGUGCGAGGGAAUACAAGUGUUACAAGCUGCAGAUCUGUGAAGGUAGUUCAACGUGUUCUUUCAUGCUGGGCAUCUUUUCCAACAAUUGUUGGUUGAUUGGUACGUUAAGGUUGAAUCAAUAUGUCUAGAUUGGUAUUCGAAGCUGGAACACCAGGCAUUGAUUCAUGCAGAUCUAUAUCAGGUGAGAUUUGUUUGCUUUCCAUUCGUGCGAAUCUAUAUGAGUGUGCAUAAAGAUUGUCAAAUUAACAAAUAUAUUAUGUACUCUAUGAUGAUCAGGGACUGCUUGAUACUCUUGCCACUGGAGAGGCUGAUGCUUCCAAGGCAGGGCUUAGGAUUGUUCUGAGCAAAGAUUUUCCUGGAAGUGAUCGUGAUGUUAAGUCAAGGUUCAUGGAGGCAAUGACUUUGGUCGUACGGUAAGCCUGAUUAUUUCGUGACGAUGACAUGCAAUCCUUAUUGGGAUGAAAUAAUGGCAGAUUUGUUGCCUAGGCGGACGCCACAUGACCAUCCCGAUAUUGUUGCCAGAGUGUACCAUGCUAAACUAUUAGAUCUCCAUGAUUUCUUGAUCAAGAAGGGGCAUCUCAUCACUGUGGCAGCACGGGCACAUGUAACAGAGUUCCAGAAGAGGGGUCUACCACACAAGCACUUUCUGUUGGUUAUGGAUGCUGGAAGCAAGUUAAAAGAAGAGGGGUCUAUCACACGAGCACUUUCUGUUGGUUAUGGAUGCUGUAAGCAAGUUAAAGAGCCCUAAUGAUUACGAUAGGUACAUAUCAGCAGAAAUUCCUGACCCCAAUAAAUAUCCUCAGUUGCACCAGCUUGUUGCCAAGCAUAUGAUGCAUGGUCCUUGUGGUACUCUUAACAAAGAUUGUCUAUGCAUGAUAGACGGUCAGUGUCAUUUCCACUAUCCUUGACAGUUCAGUGAAACGACGCAACAAGGUAAGGACACAUAUCCAAUAUAUAGAAAGAAGGGAGGAUGGGCAGAAAGUGAAGGUUAGAAGCGAGGAAUUGGAUAAUAGGUGGGUGGUGCCUUAUAAUCUAGUGCUCCUAAUGAGGUAUAACUGCCAUAUCAAUGUUGAGAUUUGUAGCAGCAUCAAGUCAGUUAAAUAUCUCUACAAAUACAUAUAUAAAGGUCAUGAUCGUGCAUCACUUAUCGUUGAUGCAAAAGGAAAUGAGCACAUGGUAAUCAAUGAGAUCAAGCAAUACUGUGAUGCCAAAAUGAUUACAGCUAUAGAAGCAGUCUACAGGUUGUUUGGUUUUAAGUUGUAUUCAAUAUGGCCACCUGCCCUGCAGAUGCAAGUACACCUUCCUGGUUUGCACAUGGUUGCCUACAAGUCAACAGACAACCUAAAAGAUGUUGUGCAGCGUAAAAAAUCCCAGAGGUCAAUGCUAAAUGAGUACUUUAAGAUGAAUGCAAAUAAUCCUAAGGCCCAUUAGUACCUGUACAAGGAGUUUCCAAAGUACUUCACAUAGAACAAGUCUGGAAAAUAUUGAAAAUCUAGAGUUGCAAAAAAUAGGCUUAUGUAAAUCCCUCUGAAGGUGAUAGAUACUACCUUCGAGUGCUGCUGAACCAUGUGAGGGGUACAACCUCAUAUGAGAACUUCAAAACAUGACGUGGUAUUCCAUAUGAGACUUUUAGAGCAGCUGCUGAAGCCAUGGGGUUUGUAGAUACUGAUAAGUCAUUAGAUGAGCGUCUGACUCAAUGUGCCAUGGUCAGGUUUCCUUCUUCUCUCCGUAGGCUUUUUGCCACUAUUGUGGUUUUCUGCGAGUGCACCAAUGUCCGCCAUCUAUGGGACAAGCAUUAUGAAUCAUUGGCUGAGGAUUUCCGGCGUACUAAUGACAACAAAACUGUGGUUGAGCAGAUGGUGCUCCGUGAUAUUUCUCAUCAUCUGACGUCCAUGGGAAAAGACAUCAGGCACUAUGGUCCUCCAGAACUACAUGAGUCAGGUUAGUUUGAUCUAAAUUUUGUAUGAAAAAAAACUUAAUUUUACCCCUCUAAAUUUUGCAUGUCAUUUGUAUAAUUGGUAAUAAUGUUGAUAAGUUUUCUUGUUUUGUGCAGACAAUCAGCGCUCUAGAGAUCAUUACAGAGAGCUUACAGACGAGCAGAAUCUCGGUUAUGAAGAGGAACACCUGGAGAUAAUAGAUACGCUUAAUGUAGAACAAAGGGCAGGUUUUGAAGAGAUACUUGAACAUGUUAUGAAGGGAAAGGGACAUAUUUUCUUUGUGGAUGGUCCCAGCGGCACCGGUAAGACCUAUCUAUAUAAAGCAUUGCUUGCAAAGGUGCGCUCUGUGGAUCUUAUCGCCGUUGCUACAACAACAUCUGGUAUUGCAGCAUCCAUUAUGCCUGGUGGACGCACUGGCCACUCUCGGUUCAAGAUUCCAAUCAAGUUAGGUGAUAACACUAUGUGUAGUUUUACAAAGCAGGGUGGGACAACCGAAUUACUUAGGAGAGCAUCUCUGAUAAUUUGGGAUGAGGUAGUAAUGACUAAGAGAUAGGCCGUUGAAGCACUAGACAGGACAUUGCAGGAUGUAAUGGAAUGUACACAACCAUUUGGCGAUAAGGCAAUGUUAUAUGGAGAUGACUUUAGAUAGGUUCUUCCUAUUGUGGCCCGUGGUACAAGAGCACAUAUCACUGAUGCUACUUUGCUCAGAUCAUACAUAUGGCAAAGUGUUCAGUGCAUCCGAUUGACCCAGAACAUGAGAGCACAGUCUGACACAUGGUUUGUAGAUUAUCUGCUGAGGUUCGGUAACGGCACCGAGGAAAAAAAGAGAAGCAGUUUCAGUUUAGAUGCAAUAAUUUGGCCACAUGUCUGUUGGUUCUUCUGCCCACUUUAUAAAAAAAAACUUCCUUCAUUGCUCAACUAAAUUUCUUGAUCAACAUUUUCAAAAUUAAAUAAAGCAAGGGAGAAACGAGAUUGUGAUUAGUUAGGUCUCAUUUUAUAGAAAGAACUAUCACGCCCAAAUUUGUGGAGCCAUGUUUGGAAAUAAAAAAAUUAAAUAAAGUAAGGGGAAAAUGAGAUUGCGAUUGGAAGAAUUAUCAAAUUACAUUCCAUGGUCGUGGCGUAACACAUAACGACAUAACAACUACAUGGUGCCAAAUUUGGAAAUACAAAACUUAAAUUUAGGGAGAAACGAGAUUGUGAUUGGUUAGAUAAUAAUUUUAGUUAAAGAGUCAACCAGAAAGGCUCUAAAAAAUGUUUCAUUUUGCAAUAUACGCAUCUAGACACAAGCACAAUUGUUCCCUUUUAUUUGAUCAAUUGUACGUAGGGCUGGACGCGAAGUUAGAAACUCACGAGUUGGCUCGGCUCAUUCAUAUUUAGGUUCAGUUCGGCUUGGCUCGGUGAAUUUUUAAACGAGUCGAGCAGCUAUUUUUACUUGUUUUGUUAACAAGCCGAGUUACUCAUGAGCCAACUGAGCUAGAAGGCUAAAGGUUGAACCGAGAUGUGAAUUAGAAGAGUCUACACUACACCAUGGUUAGAGUGUAGAAAUCAUUAUCUUGUGGUGAAAUAUUUGUAUGACUACAUGUUGAAAAAAGGUGAAAAAGUAUAUGGUCAAGGUCCGUAUGAGUCGGUUAGUUGAUAAAGAUAGAUUGUUAAUGUAUCAGCAUUAAACAAGUAUUUCAAUCGAUACGUAUGCCUUUUAUUGCUUACUCGGAUUCCUAUAAUAAAUAUUUAUCUUAUUUUAUUUAAAAAAAUAUUUAUCAUGUUUUAAUUAUACACGUGCCUAUGGCACAUCCACUAUUCCCUUAAAGCCACAAGAGUUUCAAAUCACCCCAUGCCUCACGGUCGCUGCCAAAUUUUCAGCUCAAUCGUUUUCAGUACACGUUCAUGAAUAUAAGAUCUUGAGAAAUGCAUGGCAACGUGGUGAACUUCCGAAAUCCCCAAUACACGUUGCUAAACGUUUGAGCGAACCUUCCACCCGGUCUCCCUCUUUCCUCUCGCUGUCGUUGAUAUUUUCCUGAGGUGACACCCCAGUAGCUGGCACUAACACUGCGGAGAAAAUGGCCACAUCUUUCGUUGCUCGCUGUUCCAGCGGUCACGCUAGCGAGAGGGGCCAUCCGCCUGUACAUCCCCCGGCCGUCAAAUCGUGCGGUACCUUUCGAGCAAGGUGAUACUGGUACCAAUAGACUCGCGAAAUUCUCACCUAGAACCAAGCCUAACUUUGUGGGGCUAAUCAUCGUUCUCACUGCUACCCUAGUGGUUGAACUACUUUUUCAACGUUUUACAAAAUUUUCUGCCCUAAGAGCUGAAUAGUUUUCGUAAAAUUCAUCUGAAAAUUGAAAGAAAUUUGACACCGUACGUGACAGGUAACAGGUUCAGAUCCAGCAGCUGCCUUGACGACGACGCCUGUCCCUGCCGAGCUCGGCCUUGGCCCUGCGCAGGCGGGCCUUGUAAUCCUUUGUCCAAGCGCGGAAUUGUGCCUUGAGCCUCUUCAGGUCGUCGGUGGAGCUGCCGCCGCUCGGGGCGGCCGCAGCCGGCUGCCACGGCCCCGUAGCUGGCGGCGCCUCACCGACGAGCGCCGCCGCGCCGCGCUUCAGCGUGUGGCUCUGCCGCCGGAACUCCGCGCCGAGGCGGCUCACCGCGCUCCGCCUGGCGACCUGCACCAACAUACGGUCCCGCCCGUGCCACAGCCUCACCGGCGGCGGCUCCUCCGACGUGUUCAUCUGGAGUUCCGAACAUUCCCGGCGAUCGCGCGUCGCUUCCUCGGCCCUUCGUGCCGCGUCCCGAGCCAGCUGCAUGAACACAGACACGCAGGAAAAGAUGAUGGCCGCCGGAUCAUCGUUCAGAGUUUCAGAGUGGACGCUGCCAUGUUGUUGUGUUCGGAGACUCUGAUAGAACAGACCUGCAGAGUAGCCAUUUGCUCGUGGAAGGCUUCCUCCAGGGACUUGAUCCUGAUCUCGUACUCCAGCCACCUGAUGUGGUAGCUCUCGAUCCGCCGCUUCAGCGCGGCGUUCUCCUCCUCCUUGCGCCGCAGCUGCGCCUCCACCUCCGUCGCCUUCCUCUCGAGCUCCUCCACCACCAGCGAAACGUCAUCCGUCGUCGACGAUGUCGCGUCUUCCUGUUCCUGGCAUAGAUGAGCCAAGCCAUUUAAUUGUGCGUCACCUCUCAUGAUCAGUUGAUCGAGACGAAUCAGUGGACAAUGCUGAUGAUGUUAAUGGAGGUUGGAAGGGGAUUGAGAGAUGGAACCUUGGGCAGUGACGACGACGAAGACGGUGAUGGCGGCGACAAUGUCUGCGGCGGCGCGGCGGGCCGGGCCCUGCGCCGCGACGGAUGGCGGCCUCGUGCAGUCGGCCGUGCGGGCAGAGGCGGCGGCGGCGGGGAGGCGAGGGUGUCGUCUAGGGGCGCGUCGACGUCGCCGCCGCCUCCACCUGAUCCUCGCAUCAGCGAGAGGAGCAUCGCUUCCAGGGAGCUCAGGGCGGACGUUGACAAAGCCGACAUCGCCAUGACCGGCGUUCCAGCUGACGCAAUGCCGACGACACGCUGCGGCACGUGUGUGGAAGCUGCAGGUCGAUCGACUCCUAUCCUCGCAUCAAGAACUCAUGGCGUGCGAAGCGAUGAGCUCCGGAUUAAUAGAGGCGAAUUCGGAACGACUUGCUGCAGCAUCGGGAAUCCGGGACGGGAAGCCCUUAAUGAUCGACGAGGAGGUGCAUGAAGGUAUCGAGCCGGAGCGAAUAACGAGGGCGAUGGGAUUGAGGAUCGGAGAGGAGGCAGAGCAGCCGGUACCGGUAAAAUAGGAUCUUUGAAUUUUAACCACACACCUCGUAGGUUUCCUUCACUUUCUUCUCUUUCGCCUUGUGAAUUGGAACUCUUUGAAUUUUGAAAACUCGUUGCAUUGUUUUUUAAACUUCUCGUCAGAGUUGCUGUGUUAGGCCUAAAGAAGAUAUUUUGUAGUGCUAUCGGUUAAGUUUUUAUUGCUAAUUGCUAUGUCCAGACUAUAUGUAUCUUUAUUUUCAAUAUGUGUUUCCGUGUUAGGCCUAAAGAAGGGAACUUAAAUUUGCAAAUUAUAAACAUGUACACUGUAUUUUUUUUAAUGGAAACUAGUUCUAGCCUCCCCUCAAACUAAACAAAGAACAUGGGAAACUUUUUCUUCUUUUAAAAGGAUACUCCAUCUGGUUAGAUUUUUUAAAAAAAUCAUAAAGAAAUAAAAUCGUGCUUCCUAUGUGAUAUACUCCGUACUAUACACAUAGUUUCUGAGAGAUAAAUAAAUAAAAUCAUAAAUUUCCUGUGCAUGUACAUUUACGCACAAGAAACCUGUAUGAACUUUAUGAUUUUUUAUAAAUAAUUUGUCUAAAUUCUAAAAAGAAAGUCGGGAUAUCAAUAUUUAUAAAAUUACAGGCCUGCCCUGACCAUUAUAAAACAAUUUUAAAAGAAAUAACCCCUUUUGCACAAUCUCUCCAUUCCAAUGGGGUUUGAGUUUGAAAUAGGUCUUAACAAAAGGGGAAAAAAUCUACGUGAAUUUUUUAUAACCUCUAAACAAGCCUUAAGCUGCCCUGUAGGCGUGCCUGUUCGAUAAUUCCAUGCCUACCUUGAUCACUAAACAAAAGAUAUUUACAAAAAUCACCCUUAUCAAUUGUUGGGGAGUUUUCUUGAUUUCCAUUGGAAAUCAUUGGUUCUAGCACAACCUCUACAUUUCAAAGGGGUUCUAGUUUGAAACGGGUCUAAACUCUUAACCAAAGGGGAAAAUUCUAUACGGUUUUAGUUCAGAUGCCAUGUUGACAUGCUGUCAAGAUUUUUUUUUUGGUAAUGAUUCUCCAGGACAUGACCGAAGUUCCAAGCUCUGAACUCUGAAGCAGUUCGUCGAAACGGCCGUCUCACCGCGGGGCGCCUCCAUGGACGGCCCUGACCCCUCGCCGGCGAGCGAGUUGCCGUUCCGCAUCAGCUUCUCCGGCCACGGCGGCCACCUCCGCCUCGACCCUACCCCGCAACCGUCCAGCACCAUUCCCGACUUCGUCCCGGUACGUACGCAACCCACCAGUUCGCCCAAAAUCACCCGUGUUGUUCUCUGCAAUCUGUAAACCCUAAACCCACCGUUGUUGUGGCGGCGACCGCAGCCGCCGGCCUACCCGCCUGGGAGCCCGAGCAGCGUGAAGGAGUACCUCGAGGCGAACUACCUCAACCCCGAGCUCCACCUCCCCACCGCGGCCGAUGCCGGGAGGGUGUGGGACUUGGACUGGUUCGCCCUGGCCAAGCCACCGCUGGAGCCCUCCGCUCCCCGCACCAUGCUCGCGCCCGCCUGGGAGCCGCCUUUCCGGCGCGGUCGGGGGACGUCGCAGUCCGCGUCGGAGCCGCAAGUAUGGGAUCCUGAGUCCGUGCAGAUGGAGAUGGGCGAGGUGUUCGGUUCGGGGACCGGGGGGUUGGCGCCGCGGAUGCCUGGUCCGGCGAAGGACUUCGUCAGGGGGAGCAUCAACAACAGACCCUUUCGUCCGGGUGGUCUACUGGAUGAUGAUGCUGAGGUGGCUGCAUUGGAGAAGGCAUUCCCAGAGGGUGCGCGGAACGGUGAUUGGGUGCAUGAGCUUAUGACCGGUGGCCCGGCGCAGGUUGCUCCUCCGGGGUUCCGCAAGGGAUUGGAGUUGGGCCAGUUGAAGGUUUGUCCCUUACUAAAUUUCUAUCUCUUUUGCCAUGUAACCGUAAGGAUUGUUGUGGAUGCGCCAAAUUCUCACUGCGAUUGUUGGUACUUUUCUUGUAGGAGUAUAAAAGCCACUGGAAGUGUUUCCGGAAUGGAGAACUUGUAGAGGAGCAACCUGCAUCGUCAUCGAAUGAUACAAUGGUAGUUAGAGCAACGUUCCACAUUUUUGCACACUUUGCCAUUAUAGAGUUGUUAUAGUCUGAUUGUCACAUUUUUGUGCAGGAAAAAUACUCGGUGCAGUUUGAUGAUCUUUUCAAGAUAGCUUGGGAGGAAGAUGCCGCCAACAAGGCGUUACAGGAGGAUGAUGUUCAACAAUCAGCUGAAGAUGAGGGAACUGAAGGUACUUCGUUGCUGUCAUAGAUCACAUGUUCAAAUCACAUGAGUAUAUUGUCUUUUGGGUCUUGGCAAAUUGUAAUAGUAAAGAGAUAAUGGGCCAUCAUCGCCAUUAUGACUACUAGCACGUUAUUAGUGUUUCUGUGUGUUUGUUAACUCUUUGUUGGUUCUUGUUAAGCUUUCAUAUUCCAUUGGCAGGAGUUGGUGAACAAAAAGUUGAUGCAUUGCAAGAUGCUUCUGAGACCGUAACCAAGCUAGAUGCUGAGAAACAUGAAGUAGAUGCUAUAAGUGAUGAUCCUGGAACUCAAACAGACUUGGAUCUAAUGCUAUCUGCUGAAGUUCAAUAUGCACGAAGAGAAUCAGGUGUAUCAGGUGAUGACAAGCCAACACAGGAUGGCAAGGUAGGCACACUUAUGCUUUGUUUUGUAUCUCACUUUGUAUGAUGUGCUUCGCAUUCCAUAACCUUCAUGGGUGGAUAGCUUUGCAGAAAGUAGUCUCGAAAUCCUCUAAAGAUAGAUCAUGGAUGAAUUGAUAACGGCAAUGUAUCUCUAUUUCACUUAAUAGGUUUGGGCACUUGUUGGCGGGGACGAAGACAUUGUGACUAACUUCUACAAACUCGUUCCUGAUAUGGCAAUUGAAUUUCCAUUUGAAUUAGAUAAGUUCCAGAAGGAGGUAAGGUACUCAUAAGCUUCUGUGCCUUCUAUCUCAAUGUCUUCUCUAUACUGAUCGCAGCAUCUAGUAGAGUACACUACAUCAUCCAAAGAGCACACACUGCUCCUUUUUUACAUAAACUUUGAUAGGCACAUUUGUUCUACAUGCUUGUGAUUGUGAUACUUUGUCUAUAUUUGACCCGCCUUAGCUUUCAAAUUUACAUAGUACACUCACGUCACAACUUGAACCUGACAAGAUUUGUAUUGGGACUUAGGAGAGUUAAAGUGACCUGAGUCACUAUAGAUAUGUUGAGAACACACUCCCGUAUUUUUGUGUAUGGGAGCUAAUAAUGUUCACUGUCUAAAACUUCAUGCUCUGCCGUUUUCCAUUUUCUUUAUGCACCACAGUGUGAAUUUCUUAUGCGUUGUUAACAUGAACUCUGACAAAUCUCACUCAAAUUAUACUAGGAAUUAUUAGUCCUUUGAAAUAAAGACUGCCACUUAAAUUUCUGUCCUUGCUAUCCGAGGCCACUGGCUUUCAUAUUUCUGAGUUUUCUCUUCAAUUUAAACAGCAAUUUAGAAAUUAAUGAACGAUGAUGCUGUGUCUUGGGAAUGUUAUUCUAUGCUGUUUUGAAGUUAGUUCUAUGCAUUGUUUUAAUACAGGAUUUAAUUAUGUAACACAAUGAGUGCAAAUAGUGUUGUUCUUCAUACUGUUUUUUGCCUUGCAAUACUGCAUCAGAUGUUUUCUGAAAGCAAGACAAAUCUGCAUAUCUCGGUGAGAAAUUUAAAACCAAGUCCAGUCUGCUUGUUUUCUUGUCCCUCCUGGAAUACAAGAUUAUCACAGGAAUUUUGAAUGAAUGAAAAAAAUCAAGUGAACAGAUAUUUCCUUUCCUGGCAUGCAUUUAGUUGCUAUCACAUACCUAUCUGUUUUUGAACUUAGAAAAAAUGGUUUUUAAAUGCUCAGUCGUUAAUUUAUUUUUUUCUAUCUGUCAAGCAUAGGCUAUAUAUUAUCUUGAGAAAGGUGAAUCAGUCUUCGUUGCAGCCCAUACUUCAGCAGGAAAGACAGUUGUUGCCGAGUAUGCAUUUGCUUUAGCAACAAAAGUAUGACUUCCUUUGCUCUUUCUUCUUCUUUUUUGGCACUUCUGUUUAUUUGAAACCGCCUAUCAUCUUCCACACCUAUAGCUUGUAAACCCUGAGGCUCAGCACCAGCUUUGGUUAGAAGGAAAGCUUUAACUUAGCAUUACUCUUUGCUUUGAGAAGUGUGCAAUUCUUAAUUUCUGAUAAGAUUUCACUUUUACUUUUGUUAGUUGAUCAAUAUUUAGACUACAUACUUCAGUGAACUAUCUCUCGUUACUUACCAUAGUAGUUGGUUUAAAACCACACCCAAUAAAAAGAAAAAUGUUACAUGGGUCUUUUGAUGACAUAUAAUCUUGUUAUGCAGCAUUGUACUCGGGCUGUCUAUACUGCUCCUAUUAAAACUAUCAGCAACCAGAAAUACCGAGAUUUCUCUGGGAAGUUUGAUGUAGGACUUCUGACAGGAGAUGUCAGUAUCAGGCCAGAGGCAACUUGUUUAAUUAUGACUACUGAAAUAUUGCGCUCAAUGCUCUACAGAGGUGCGGACAUUAUACGCGAUAUUGAAUGGGUAAUCGACUUCAGUCCUAAUUUAUUCAUACUGUUCUGUGGCUUUAAUUUUAAAUAUCAUUUUAUAAUUUAUUAGUGCUGAUGUGUGGUAACUAUACAAUCAGGUAAUCUUUGAUGAAGUGCAUUAUGUAAACGACGCUGAAAGAGGUGUAGUUUGGGAGGAGGUUAUUAUAAUGCUCCCGAAGCACAUUAACAUUGUUCUUCUUUCGGCAACGGUACGGAUUUAAUGAAAACCGCACUUUCCGCUACACUCACUAUCAAUCAAACAUUCUGUGCACACCAUUGGCUGUUCUGACAGUUGCUCAAUAAUAGUUAGGACAGUAUAACAUCCUGAUGCCAUUUGUAGUUGCUUUUGAUCUUUUGAAAUAGUUGAUGCAUAACUCUAAUCUUAGGUAAAUUUUGCUAGGAAGUGCAAUUGUCGCUGUCCAAGUUAUUUAGUAUGCAAAUAUUAUCUCAUAAUGCGAUCACCCUGAUUUCUGAUACUCAUGCAACAAAAUGACAUGUUCGCUGAUGUUAUUCAUUCAAAUUUUGGAUGCUUGUAUUCAAUCGAAAAUUGAAAUAGUACUGCAUGGAAAUAGUAUAACUGAAAAUUGGCCCUCUAACUAUGAGCUAGGGUUAAUAUAAUAAUUUAAUGCAAAAAUUACCAUUUGGCUGCAUUGCAAUAAUUGAAAUUUCUUUUGCUUGCUAUGAAUAAAGUUUGAGAACUCUCUGUUAUUUCUCUUGUUCAAAUUUACUAGGGAGUUGAAGUGUUGAACCCUAAUUGUUUCUUCGCAGGUUCCAAAUACAGUUGAAUUUGCUGACUGGAUUGGUCGAACAAAGCAGAAGAAAAUUCGUGUCACUUCGUAAGUGCAGUUAGUAUGAAUUUUUAGCUACUUACACCAUAGGCCCUUGUUACCAGUUGGUUUAGCCACCAGGCCGGUUAGAAUUACCCAAUUAGCUUCUUUCUCUAUUCUAGUCAAUUGGUACAUGGAAUCUAACUUGCUAGAAAUUGGAUGCAUGAAAAUGAGAAAAUAUCGGUGGUACGACUACUAUCACGGGAGUGUUAUUUUACCAACCAUUCAUUUCAGUUGUUUUCCAUGACAGAAUUGAGGGUGGCUGCAGCCAUUAAAUACAUGUACUCAAUUGUAUAAGAGGGAAACUAAUAGGUUAGGAUUGCUGGUACGAUAUCAAAUGCAUAUAAGCUGCAAGACUAGAAAAAAUAAUGUCUUAGGCCCUGUUUGUUUCAGCUUGUAGAUUAUGAAAAGCAGCUUGCAGAUCGUAACAACCUACAAUCUGGGGGGAGCAUAUUGUUGGAUUUUAACAAUCUUGCCUGUGGAUGCCGGAUGGUUACAGUCAGGGGGUGUGAAAAUGCUUAUUUUUUUUUCGGCUUGUGAUUUUGAAAUCUACAAUCCCAAGCUGAAACAAACACGCUUGGCCUUGGAUUUGAGGAUAUAUGAAAAUAAUUUGAGCAAGUAGAUGCAUGCUAUCCAAGGACAACGAUUGUCCUAUGUACCGCAAUGGAAGAUGAUUGUAGAAAAGGGUUUCUCCUCUGUUUGUUAAUAUAGAUGAUUAAUGAAAUUAGAUCGCGACAAAUUGCUAACAUUGCACAAAAAUGAUACAUUAAUAGGCCAAAACCUGGUAGCAUCUUAGUUAGGAUUUUAGAUCAAUAUGAUACAUAUUGGUUGGUUAACAUUUUGAAUUUAAGAUGCCAAUCUUGAUUGAUUCAACUUAAUGCCAAGACACCUAUAUAAUAGUUACAAAAUUGGACAAACCUGAGUGGUGGAACCCAAAGGGCCAUGCUUUAAUUAAACAAACUCAGUUGAGGGGUACAAAUGAACUCAGUUGGUUUAAAGGGACUUGAUUGCACAUAAGUGGAUAAUAUAGGGGAUUUGAUCAAUAAUAUUAGACUAUAGGGGUUUGUUGCAGAAUGCUGAACUGUUAAGUGGCUAAUAGUGUAGUUUUGCCUUAUGUUCAAAAUUUGAAUAUUCUUGGACACCUACAGCUCUAAUUUUGAUCACACAGUACUGUUAUUAUGUCUUUACCAGGACCAACAAAAGGCCUGUUCCGCUUGAGCAUUGCUUGUUCUACUCUGGAGAAGUGUACAAAAUAUGCGAGAGGGAUACCUUUCUUACUCAAGGAUUUAGAGAAGCAAAAGAUUCUUUCAAAAAGAAAAAUUCGAACAAGCUUGGAGUGAAACCUGGUCCAAAGUCAGGAACCCCUGCAGUACGUGCUGGAACUCAAGGCAAAAACCCAGAUACAUCAAACAGGGGGAGAGAUCAGAAGUACCCAAAGCACCACAAUGCCAAUUCAGGAUCAGCAGCGGUUCCACAAAGCUCCUCAGGGCCAAAGAGACCAGACUCUUCAUUUUGGAUGCCGCUUGUGAAUAACCUUCUGAAGAAAUCCCUAGUGCCUGUAUGUGAGAGAAUAACUUUUGUGAUUUCUCUAUCAUGCGAUCAUGACAUUAUUUGUUCUGUUGGACCUCUUUCUUGUUCAUCAUUUACAUUGAAUUCGUUUCAUUCUUCAUUUGUAUGCUGAAACCAAUCUCAACCUGUCGUGAAAUGACAAUUACUCUCAACAUUUGGUUAUGGGUUCUACUUGUCCCUUUUAUCAAAAUCUUAUCAUGUCAUUUCACAUUUGACAAAAGGUUUAUCUGAUCAUUGAGAUGGUCCUUUGCAGGUGGUGAUCUUUUGUUUCUCAAAGAAUCGUUGUGAUAGAUCGGCAGAUAGCAUGUUUGGCGCUGAUCUCACCAGUAGUUCGGAGAAAAGUGAAAUCCGUGUCUUCUGUGACAAGGUGUUUUCACGCCUUAAAGGAUCUGAUAGGAACCUUCCACAGGUGAUCUAAUAGCUCAUAAAAUUUAGUGCUGUACCCCUGUGAGCCUUUGCUUCAAUCAGUGCUUUAAGCUUUGACCUCCUUCAUAGGUUGUGGGAAUACAAAGCCUUCUACGAAGAGGAAUUGGAGUGCACCAUGCUGGGCUUCUCCCUAUUGUGAAGGAAGUAGUUGAGAUGCUAUUCUGUCGUGGUGUGAUCAAGGUUAUGCUUUGAACAUCUGGAUGCUGUUUUACCAAGUACUAACCAAUGCAGCAGCUCUUCGCCCCCGCCCCCGGCCCGCCCCCCCCCCCCCCCCCCCCCCCCCCCCUCCUCUUUUUUUCUUUUUUCGUGAUGCCAUUUGUCAUAGUAGUUUCACUUGAAGCUGUUAGGAAACUAGUCCAUGCAUGAACUCUAGUAUAUGAGACUGUUGGAUGUUUGCUGGAUUUGGAACAAAAAAUUGUAAAUGCUGACCACUGGCUUAAGUCCAUCCUGUCCGAAGUUGCUGCAGUUAUGCACAACCCAUACCAUGCACAGAAGGUGUUCUUUAACUUGAAACAGUAUUAGAGAAACGAUAUUUGUGAUCACAUCACAGUUUCGUCAGUUGCUCCUGAAAAGUUCCCUUAAAAAAAAAUGCUCGUGAGAAAUAUAGCAUGUUCUGGCACAAUCGUCUCUUAGUUAACUGAAUGGUAAAAGUUUUGACUCUCUUGAACUCAUUGCAGGUACUGUUUUCCACUGAAACAUUUGCAAUGGGUGUUAAUGCACCAGCAAGAACGGUGAGAUUCUAUUUGUGCCUAAUAAAGUGUUUCAAUGCAAGUAUGUUGAACAAAUCUCUCUAGUAUUUAUUAGUGUACCAUUCGUGUCUAUGUUAUGUGGUACCACUUGCAUUCCACUAUCUACUAAUUAAUUUUAUUUGUGUUAUUUCAACCAUGGGAAUACAAUUCCUGUCAUUUUCCUGAUGAUACACAAUCUCUUUCAAAUUCAUUGUAGUUUCAUGAAAGGUACAACUGGGGAUAUCUAAGCGUAGAUAGCAAUUCAAUUUAUACGAUGGCACUAUGAACUGCAGGUUGGCAUGCUUUAAUUCAACAUGCCUUGGAUGCAACCACCUUUUCAUGCACUUAACUUGACAACAUUUAUUUACAUGUUUCUGUUUCUACAUAUUCUGUUGUUUGCUGUUUACUGUUACACGUGAUGCAUUGCUCAGCAUUUCUUUGUUGGAAAGAGAACUCAUCUAAACAUUGAUGCUCGAGACACACAGCUGCAUGCCUUGAUUCCUUGUUUCUUUGUGCACUUUUGGAUUCAGCGAACUGUAACUAUGCUUAGGCUGCACUUGCUUUUCCCACGCCUUUAAGCUGAGGAUUGCGUAGCUGGCUCUGAGCGCAUUUUUGUUAACCCAACAGGUUGUAUUUGAUUCCUUAAGAAAGUUUGAUGGAAAAGAACACCGAAAAUUGCUUCCAGGGGAGUAUAUUCAAAUGGCUGGACGAGCUGGUAGGAGAGGACUUGAUAACAUUGGUACAGUGAUCAUUAUGUGUCGUGAUGAAAUUCCUGAAGAAAGUGAUUUGAAAAAUUUGAUUGUUGGAAAACCAACUCGAUUGGAAUCUCAAUUUCGAUUAACAUACACUAUGAUACUACAUCUUCUACGUGUGGAGGAGCUGAAGGUAUACCUAUGAACACUUAUCAUUGUACUUGGUUUGUUAGACUUUCUUCUUUUUUCAAUUUCAGCUCCAUAUUUGAUAUGGAUUUGCACCUGGGCCUGCUCAAUCAUCUUUUGAUUCCUUAUACCUGUCGGCAUCCAGGCACAUGUCAUAAAGAUACACAUUUGAAUUUUGGAGUUAGGACUGAAAAUAGAAUUAGACAAGACAAUAUUCAUAUCACCCUCUGUGCUUCUCUAAAGUACUUCAUAUUUUCUGUGUGUAUGAUGAAUGUGUGAAAAUCAAUAUGGUAGAAGCAUUUCUGGAAUAAAGGCUUCCCCUAUGUAUUCAGCAUGUUAAGGGUAGUUGUGUAAUAGUAUGUGUGGGUUAUGGAUAUUUGUGGUACUGCCCUUAACUACAUAUGGUUGCCCAUUGGGCUCUUGAAAUGCCACUUAAGUCUUCCCUUAAACAUAGUAGCAAACUACCAGGUGAAGCCCUAACAUCAGACUAUUACACUACUACCCUCUUUUGAUGUUUACAGUUACAAUUGGCACUUCUUUUCAUGGGCGUGGGAGGAAAAUACAGUAGAUUGCACUAUGGCAAUUUUACUUCCAAUUGGAAUGUAUUUCAUACAUGACACCACCUUGUUAAAUUUCUUUCUCUUUGAUUUGACUAUUCAGUGGGGGGGGGGGGGGGGGGGGGGGGGGACAAGGCACUCUUUUUCUGUCACUAGCAGUUUUCUGUUUUUAUGAGCAUGCACACUCCAAUAGUCUGCUUUUGGACAUCAGCAUUUUCAAAGACAAUCUAGAAUCAACUUUCCAAAAAGCCGAAGCUCAAACAAAUAGGCCCUUACUCAUGCAGUGUUACUUUCAUCUCAAGUGUACUUUGUGUAGGUUGUAACUGGAUACUUCACUUAAAUUACCAAUAUUUUUAGUAAUGGAAAACACUAGAAAAGAAUGUUGUGUAGACCCUUAGUCAUGCUCAGGGAAAGUAAUAUACUUUAAUGAUGAUUUUUCUUAUAGGUUGAGGACAUGCUCAAGAGAAGUUUUGCAGAAUUCCAUGCACAAAAGAAUUUGCCAGAGAAGGAAAAGCUACUUCUACAAAUGCUUCGUCAACCUACAAAGACAAUAGAGUAAGAUACUGAGACAUACUCAUGUUUACCUGAUUAAUACAAUGGAUACCAACACAUUGAAUGUGAAAUUGCAGAUUCGACAUAAAAAUGGAAACAGAAAGUAGUGAAGUUUUAUUGACAUAAAAUGAUAAAAAGCUAAAACUUGAAGAAUUGGUGUUUUAUUUAUGAUUUUGGUAGGCAAAUUCUAGAACCAAUAUCUCUUUUAGUAUAGGACUACCACUGCUUUGGCACAAUGAAUAUGUGAGAAGCAAUAAACAAAUAAAUGAAUGAUUUUUUUCCCAAUCUGCCCUAGUGUUCCUUUUUUUCUCCGCAUGUUGCACUUGCGUACUGUGAAGAAGUUUGUCUAAAUUGAAAUAACAAGUGCACAUGCAAUCUAGUAAUAGGCUAGUAGCAUUAUUUUGUAGCCAAGUUUAGGAGUAGUGACGAUGAUUGGGUUACAUAAAUGCAGAAAUGUAGAUAUUGAACUUGGAUAGGCUUAGAACUGCGCAUAGCUCCAAAAUGUUGGGGAGCCUAUCAGAAAGAGCCAUGGGAUUUGACCAAAACGAUUGUCUUGUUAGAAGGAAAUUUUUGCUAUCAGAUAGCCCUAUCUCUGAUCCAUGGGUCGGUGAACGAAUGGGUUUCGGGAAAUAGAGAACAUGGACGUUUCCUUCUCAACUUUGGAUGUUAGCACCCAAUCAGUCUGUCUAGCAAUGUAGGCAUUUUUGGUUCUCUUUUUUGUUUUCAUAAUUUCGUUGCAUUGUUCUACAUGUGGCAGUGUAUGAUAAGCUUUCAUUGUACAUCUGAAGUACUGAUUAUCCAGUAUUUAUAUGUGCACUGAUUUUAGUUUUUUUUAAUCUCUUUGCCUUAUAUUAUAUGUGUAUUGUUGUAUUAUCAGUUGCAUAAAAGGAGAGCCUUCAAUUGAAGAAUACUAUGAGAUGGCAUUAGAAGCUGAGGCACAUAGGGAAUCUAUAACAGAAGCAAUCAUGCAGUUGCCCAGUACUCAACAGUUCCUUAUGCCUGGGAGAUUGGUGGUCGUUAAAUCUGAAUCUGUAUGCCUUCAUCAUAUUUGGUUUUCUCUUUACACACUUCCUCAUUUUCUGUCAGUUCCUUUUGGCAGUGAUUUUUAUUUACAUAGUUGCAGUACUUUACUUUGCAACACUCAACUGUUAUAAAAACUCAAUAAAAAGUUGGCUUGGCAGUUGGGACUCUAGGUCUUCUAUAUGUAUUAGCAAGGAUACGUAAGUAGCGCAUAAAGAAAUACGAAAAACUUAAAGAAACCAAUGCAUUUUUUAAUGUUCCAAAUUGAAGUUUAAAACCUCUAGUUAAAUUAUUAUCAAACAUCCGAUCCAAACUCCAAAAGGAAUUACUAAAAAUCAUGUGACUUUAGAAUACACAAGCAUGAUACCGUUACUAACCUUGAGGGUUUCAAAGUAUACUGUCUAUCCCACUAGGGGAGAUGGAUAUAUAGAGUCCUCAUGGGCCAUAUGGGCCUUCAAUAUAGAUGGGCCUUGAUAUACUUAACACCCCCCCUUCAAACUCAAUGUGGAAGUGGAGGAGCUGAAACAUUGAGUUUGAGCAAGUGAAGCCGAUGUUGUUCUCGAGUUUGUGCCUUAGUGAAGAAAUCUGCCACUUGCAGCUCUGAGGGCACAUAUUGAAGAGCAAUUGUUUUCUGAUGACAUAGCAAGCUGCCAUUCCGGAAGACUAGAAGCUUCCUGAUAUGUGGAUGGCUCAUAAACAACAACAUUCACAUAGGGAAAACCAUACUUGUCUUCAGGAUGAAUAGUACUACGAUCUCUUAGAUUAUAUCGUGGACCAGCAUGUAACUCAUCAACAAUAUGUGACUCAUCAACAUUAUUAUCAGAAGCAUCAAGAGCGGGUGUGUCAGGACUAGCCGAGGUGGUAGAACUAGAAGGAAGUUCAAUGGGAGCUUUGGGACGACGACGGAAAAAGUGUGUGAUAGGUGGUUUUGAAAAAGGCGCAUGUGAAAGAGGUGGAGGUGGUGGAGGAGGCGCAUGUGAAGGUGGUGGAGGAGGUGUAGGUGGCUCAUAGAGAGGAGGCGUGAUGAAAAUAGAAGGAUCACGAAUGGAUUCGGAAGGUGAAGUGACAUCACUCGUGGAUGAAAUAGGAGGAAGACACAUAAAAGAUGUGGACUCUGUGGGAGAAUAUGAGGGUUGUGUAGAGGGGUUAUAAAAGAAAGGAUGGUCCUCAACAAAGGUCACAUCACGAGAGAUACGUAUGCGAUGUGACGAAGGAUCAUAGCAGCGAUAACCUUUAUGCUCAAGACUAUACCCCAGAAAAACACACUCAGCAGAUUGCGCAGUCAACUUAGUACACUCACAAGGGGCAAGCAAAACAUAGCAUGUACAGCCAAAAACUCGGAGAUGGUCAUAGCUGGGAGGGGUACCAAAAAGUACCUCACCAGGACAUUUGUCAGACAGUUUGGAUGAGGGUUGUCUGUUUAUGAGGUAUACAGCAGUGGAGACAGCUUCACUCCAAAAAUGAGAAGGAACAAAAGAGGAAAUCUAAAGUGUGCGAGCUGUCUCUAUAAGAUGGCGAUGUUUACAUUUAGCAACACCAUUUUGUGCAUGAGCACCAGGACAAGAGAGCUGAGCAAGAGUACCUUCAGAGGACAAAAAUUGGCGAAAAACAUCAGACACGUACUCACCACCAGAGUCAGCGAAAAACUCUAAUAUGAGUGGAAAAUUGUGUGUGAACCAUGCGAGUAAAAGACUGGUAUAUGGAGCACCACUGUGAGCGGUGUUUCAUGAAAAAAAUCCAUGUAUAUCUAGAAUGAUCAUCAAUAAAAAUGACAUAAUAUUUGUGAGGACCACCCUUUGUAGCAAAAGGUGCAGGACCCCAUACAUCUGAAUGAAUAAGAUCAAAAGAUCUAGUAGAAUGGGAAGCACUAGAGGAAUAUGGAAGUUGUAUUUGUUUUCCAAGCUUACAACCCUUACAAUGAAAACUAGACUCAUAGAUGUAUGGCCUAAACAGCCUUUAUUUAUUAGUGUAGACAAACGAGACCCACAAAGAUGACCAAGAUGAUGAUGCUACUUGGCGAAGGACGAAGUGGAUGAACAUGCAGCGGAUGACACGCACGGAAGGCUGAGGGAGAUGCAAUGUGUCGAGAACAUAGAGGCUAGGGGAACCUUUACGGCGAUGGCCAGUCCCAAGCACAGUCCCGGUCCGACGAUCUUGAAUAAAACAAGACGAGUCAUCAAAUCCAACAAAACAAUUGUGAUCGGUUACUUGACCAACUGAGAGAAGGUUCAUGGACAAUUUAGGUACAAGAGAGACAUUAGGCAUAGAAAAUGAGAAGUACAAAGAGAACCCUCAUGAGUGAUAGAACAGGAUGUACCAUCUGCAGUCUGAAUAGAGGCACCAUCAUUAACUGACUUGUAACCAAGAAGCUGGGACCAGUCAGAUGUCACAUGAAAGGAGGCCCCUGAAUCAAGCACCCAAGAUGAUGAAGAAGCACUGACAGGUGAAGCAGCAGCAAAAGACACAGCCUCUAGGAGUAGGUGUUGUACCACGACCAUGAGCAGCGCGAGCAGCCCUCCGUGCACGAAACUCAGCCAACUUCUCCGGAUGCUCAGAAAAACAAUUUUCUGCAGUAUGAGAAGUCUUUCCACAGUGCUUACAUGGCUCUGAAGAAGUACCUUUAGGUGUACUGAACCUCUGAGAAGCUGCCAACAAACUGUGAGAUACUGACAUAGAUGCAACAGACAUAGACCGAAGGCGAGUCCCUUCAGCAAUUAACUCAGACAAAGCACGUGCCAUGGUUAAGUUAGGAGAAUCAUGUAACAGCCUUUUACGAAGAGAAUCAAAUUCUUCCCUUACUCCCAUGACAAAGCGAUAUACAAAGAACUUCUCAAUAAAUUUGUGUGCUGGACACUGAUCAGCAGCACAAGCACCUAUCAUGGAGGUCAAAGAGCCUACCAGACGAUCAAAGGCUGAGUAGUAAUCAUCAAUGGACAUAUCAUUCUGCUCAAUUGUUUGAGUUUGCUGCAUGAGAGUAUGUAGAAGGGCACCACUGUCCUGAACAAAUCUAUCCUUCAGGGCAGACCAAAUGGCUUUGGCUGUUUUAAACUUAGAUAGACUCAUAAUCAUAGAUUGCUUAGUACUGUUGACCAUGGCAGCCAUCACUUUCCCAUCACUAAUUUGCCAAUCAGUGACUUCUUUAGCAUUACUACCAUCAGUCUUAAGUGCAGGUGCAUCAUCAGUUAAAUGAAAAUAGAGCCAGGGCCCCUAAAAGCAGUUUCUACACAGAAAGCCCACUCAGGAUAAUUGUGACCAUCUAGAGUGAUACUGACAACAAUUGCAUCUAUCUGUGACAUGUUGAAAACCUCUAGGAUAUGACCAACAGCAGAGAAAAGCAGAGGAACAGAUAUCACCGGGAGUAGAAUCAGCAGAGUACCACCGUACAGAGGAAGUCACCACAGCAGAGUACCACCGUGCAGAGUGAAGAUUGAAUCCGCGAUAGGCGGAUCGGGUGGCACACAGCGUAUAGACGUGCGGAAGACGGCACAUGGCGCGACCAGACGAGUCAAGGGGGACGCACGAGAGGCAGCACAGACAAGCCGCGACAGCGGCUGUGAGGAGCCGCGACGGGUGGCGGGGACGAGCCACGACGGGCGGCGGAGAGACGGCGCGACGUCAAGCGCGCGGAAUGAUGGAAAAAAAUGGAUCUCGGGUGGAUUAGAUUAGACCUAAUCCUAACCCUAAACCAUGCUCUGAUACCAUGCUACUAACCUUGAGGGUUUCAAAGUAUACUGUCUAUCCCAAUAGGGAAGAUGGAUAUAUAGAGUCCUCAUGGGCCAUAUGGGCCUUCAAUAUAGAUGGGCCUUGAUAUACUUAACAGAUACUAUCUUUGGUUGGAACUAAUCUUGAGCUUGAAAACAAGCUUAGCUUGAGAUCAGCUUAUUCUUUGUUUAAGGUGAACUAAAUUUCCGUGCUUAGCACCUCCACUUUUAAUGCUGAGAACUAAAAUUAAACAGGCAAUUUAAGCAAGUACUUUAGAAGGUUCUAUUUAUUUGGCUUGGAGGCUACCAUUCUAUCAUUAAUACCAUAACCAUAUGUUUGAACAAGCCUGAUUAUUUUCAUAUUUUGAACAUUGUUGGGCCCCCGUCUCUGGUUACUGUUACAUGUGCUAUAGCUGCAUCUUUUCCACAUUUAAACCCUAUGUUUUUUAACAUAUUGACAGGAUGAUGAUCACUUACUUGGUGUUAUACUGAAAUGUCCAUCGCAAACACUAAAUAAAUACAUUGUCCUUGUAUUGACUGGUGAUUGCACUUCAUCUGCGUUAUCCCCUGUGUUGUCCAAUAAAACUGAAAAGGAACCUGGGGAUUUCCAACAAGGACACUUUAUUAUCCCGAAAGGAAAACGUGGCAUGGAGGAUGAGUAUUUCUCAUCUGGCAGCUCACGAAAAGGUUCAGUUGUUAUCAAAAUCCCCCUACCAUACAAGGGGGAUGCAUCUGGAAUGGGCUUUGAAGUAAGAGCAAUAGAGAAAAAAGAGAUCAUGAGUAUAUGCACCUGCAAAAUAAAGAUUGAUCAAGUCAAACUCCUUGAGGAUUGUAGCAAAGCUGCUUACUCCAAAACUGUCCAACUGCUUAUAAAAGAGCAACCAGAUGGAACUAAGUAUCCUCCUGCUUUAGAUGCAAUAAAAGGUACAAAUUUUCUGCAUGGCUAGAGUAUUUGUUUUGUGCUAUCUUAUUGAAAUUUCGAUUGGCUAGCAAAGGACUCGGCUAUUUAAACAGUGUUCUAGUCUUUCAGAUUUUCUUAUGAUUCUGUUAGUCUUGUAAGUUGGACAGGGUAAAUGGGUGCUCUCAUGCAUUCUCGUGGCUUUACCACCAAACUCCUAAGCAUUUGUUUGGAUCUGGCAAAAUUUGAGUGACCUAAGAGAUAUAAUAUUUGGAAAAUGCAAAUGGAUAUGGUAAAGAAUUUGACCAUUUAUGUUGUAACUGUGAUUAGGUUGUGCUGAACCAUCCGAAUAUUCUAGUUAAAACUCAAAACCAAGUGAUGCUGUACUUGAAAUGCCAUAUGUUUAUCUUAAAUUAUGUGCACAAUUUUUUUUCCCUAGUCUGUUACUUUUCUGGUCUUAGAGAGAUGAGUGGGUUAGAAAAUAAUUCAACGGCAUUGGCAUUUUUGUUCAAAAAUUAUAGAAUGGCAUGAAUGUGUUGGCCUGCAUGCCUGUGAAGUUCUUGAGUAAUAUCAGCACAUAUAUUACAUUUACAUUUUUCAUUCUGAAUCUAGGACUAUUGUGGCGGAUCAUUUAGUCCCACACACUGACUUCCUCUAGUUGUUUUAUAAACUUUAUAACUACUUACUGUGGUCAUUUGGUGCAAUACAGAUCUAAAAUUGAGGGACAUGCAUUUUGUUGAAAGAUACAUUGCAUAUCACAGACUACUGCAAAAAAUAUCUGAAAACAAGUGCCAUGGUUGUAUAAAACUAAAGGAGCAUAUAUCAUUGAUGAGGGAGCAAAAGAUGUACAAGGAUCAGCUGAAUGAAUUGAAAUUCCAGAUGUCAGAUGAGGCGCUUCAACAGAUGCCGGAGUUUCAAGGCAGAGUAAGACUUCUUCAUGUACUCUUUCCUCUUGUUGCCCUGUUGUAUACAUGAAGGAAAACGGUUCAAGGGAUUAUAGCCAUUAUCUGUGCAGCAUGGGAAAAAACACCCGAUAUUGUCGUUUCUUCGAUUGCUUUGCGUUGGGUGUACAUGGGAUGUUUUUAGUCCCAGUCCUACUGUACCAGAACAACAGUUUGGGUAUUGAUUCAAAAUGCUGGCCUUAUUAACAUUAAGGAGUCAUAUCUACCAAUCCAUACAGGAUCACAAAGUUUCAUGCAAAUCAUUAAGACCUAGAUGAAUGUCCAUACAGGAUUCUUAAGACCUAAGUUCACAUGAAAUCCUUAUAUGGCUAUCAUCAGCCUUUUCAAGAAUGAAAUAUAUCCCGCGAACUACAUCUGACUCCAUUUCUAUUUCUAUACCUUUGAGGUUAUUUCUAACACUUCAAUUUUUCCAUCGUUGCAGAUUGAUGUACUAAAGGUAAUCAACUACAUUGAUUCUGAUCUAGUUGUGCAACUUAAGGGACGAGUAGCCUGUGAAAUGAACUCAGGAGAGGAGUUAAUAUCCACAGAAUGUCUGUUUGAGAAUCAAUUGGAUGACCUAGAACCUGAAGAAGCUGUGGCCAUUAUGUCUGCAUUCGUCUUCCAACAGAGGAAUGCAUCAGAACCAUCUCUUACUCCAAAAUUGGCUGAAGCCAAAAAGAGGUUAUAUUUUGUUUUUUGCUCCCCUAUUUUAGUUCCUGUCAUGAUCCAUCUUAAGAAUCUCAGCUGUAUUUCCUCAGAAGACAUGUUUGAAGGACCUUUUGCUCUUGUGGUUUUGUCUGUAUUAGGCUUUAUGACACGGCAAUCAGACUAGGACAGCUCCAAGCACAGUUCAAGGUGCCUGUGGAUCCCGAGGAGUAUGCACGUGACAAUCUCAAGUUUGGCCUUGUUGAGGUUGUCUACGAGUGGGCAAAGGUACAAACAUCAUCACAGGAAACACUUCUCCAAGAUGAAUACUGGAUUGAAAUGCCAUUUUCUGUUACAUCGAUGCAGGGAACACCUUUCGCCGACAUAUGUGAGCUGACAGAUGUAUCCGAGGGGCUCAUUGUAAGAACGAUCGUUCGGCUGGAUGAAACAUGCAGAGAAUUCAGGAAUGCAGCUUCGAUAAUGGGGAACUCUGCGCUGUACAAGAAGAUGGAGGUCGCGUCCAAUGCUAUUAAGCGUGACAUUGUGUUUGCAGCAAGCUUGUAUGUCACAGGAAUCUGAUACCUGUAAGCUUGUACUCGCUUUUGCCGUUGUUAGAGAAAUUCCUUCCCUGCUGUGGUGGAUCUCCAAUUUGUCGGCGUAAGCCUAGCCGUAGUAAGAACCAAACAGCUCGAUGGCAUGAAAGAAUGAUGUCUAAUGGAAGUUGAACAUGCUCGUCAGCAGGCCUAAAAUCUGGAUAGUGAUAUGAAUUUGAUGCCUACUGCAAUGCGAAACUAGACUGCGAAGCUGAUGCAGAGCUAUAAAAGCUUGGGUAACUGCCAAUCUUAUCUUAGGAACAAUCUACGUAAAGAAUCAUCCUUGGUUUGAUAUUUUUUAACCCUGUUCAAUAAAUCUUGCGUGCACCUCUUGCUCGCCGCUCCCGCUCCGCCGCGGGGCGCGCACCGAAGGCAAAGUCCUAGCAUGACAUGGCAUAUCGUCUCAACACUGCCGCUCCGUCGAGCAUUCUAUCGAGUGCGUGGGCCGCGACCUCCCAAACUGGGCCGUGUGGGAACACCCAAGCCCAAAACGACAGAAAGUUGCAGCGCUCAAAACAUGGUAUCGUGAACAAUUGCGGGCAUAUCGUCUGUAUAUUUUGAUUAAUCUUUAUUUAAGUAACGUAAAUCCGAAAUAGUUUAACAAAUUCUUUGCGAUUCGUGAAACUGAAACGUUCUUCUUGCACAGGAAGCAAACCACCCCAGCUGGAAAACCCCCCUCUGAACCCACGGCGCCGCCGGAGCCACGAGCCCACGGCGUGACGGUGCGGAGCAACCCGUUCUCCUGCAGCAGGAUCAAAUCCCCCGUCCGGCGAAGCGACGCGGGCGGCGACCACGAUGACGGCGCGCGCGUCCCACCUCCGCGCGCUCCUCUCGCGAGCGUUCGCUCCCAGCCUUCCCCCUCCUCCCGCUCGAGCUCUGCAUCAGGUAAUCUUUACGUCUCUCUCUCGUCCGUGGCGUUGGCCGAGAGCGGGAUCUUCUCGUACCCUUCAGGUAGCGACGCUGGGAUUUCGUGAUUAGUUUUGGUUUUGUUCCUGCUGCAGAUCGCGGGGCUGGGUGCGCCUCAGCUCGGAGCGGCGUUCCUGGGACGCGCGCGCUUCUUCUCCGCCGACGCCUCGACUGCGGCGGCGCAGGGUGGGUCAAAGGCCCCAGCGGCGGCGGCGGCGGCGGCGACGGGCGGGGAUAGAGGGGGUGAUGGGCAGUCUGGGAAAUCUGAGCAAGGGGACGCCGGAAAAUCCGUCCGCGGAGGGGUGAGUUAUGGCUUGCAAUCUCAAUUGGUACUGGAUUGUUAUGCAGGGGCAAGUAUGCACGAUUGCUUUGAAAUCUUUCAUUUGAUACGAAUUAGUAGUGAUGAUCUAGCGCCCAGCUAGAGGAUGAUUCUCAUUUCCGCAAGGCAUUCCUUGUAGUAGACUGUCAGGGCAUUCCUCAUUUGACACGAAUUGCUUUCUUGCAGCCGGUGUCGUGGCUCAGUUUUCUACUGCUGCUCGUGACUGGAGGAGGGAUAAUCGUGUACUACGACCAAGAAAAGAAGCGUCACAUUGAAGGUAGAUUACUAUGGUGAGUUGGUGUUAUUGUUUGAUGUCAUGCUAGGACUGCAUCUAGCGGUAAACAGAACCGCGUUGUUUGUGUUGGUACCAAGAUGUGUUGAAUGGAGGAAACAGCAACAGCAGUUAGCCAAAGUGGAAGAGGUUAUGUUGAGCCAAUCAGCCAAAGCAGUUCUGUUGUGAGUGGAUUUCACAUAGGUCACAGGGUUCGGUUGAGUCAUCAGAUAUUUUUUAAAUUAUAUUGAAGCAGUAGUUUAACCUAGUAUAUACAUCCUUUAUAAAUAUUGAACUGUCUAGUUAAAUUCCACUGCUCGAACUCCUUCGCAAAAUUUCUGGCUAUGCUUUGUAAUGUUAUGCCAUGGCUAUAUGGGAUGCUGCAAUGUUGUGCAUGUGGUAUGCACAUGCACUGAAGGGUCAUGAGUGUCAUGCUGGUGAUGAACUGAUGGGUACAAACUACAAAGUGACAUUCAAACUGUAGUAGAUUUUCAGUUGAUUGGCUUCCGAAUCUAUUUUUUUUCUUGAGAAUUCAGCCUCUGAGUCUUACUGAUUCCCCAUGUCAAUAGCUUCCAAUUUCCCAGCACAAGUGCUGCACCUUGCUAUUAUACCUACUUACUAAAAUUUGAUGUUCUGGAAUGCAUUAUUUUGUUUGCCACAUUCUGUUCACACAAUAAAAACACAUUGUCUCAUGUUUGUUCUUAUGUCCACUUUAUUCAGUAUUUCUGUUUGCUGAUCUAGGAAUUUUAGAGCUUCUAUUUAUUCUCAGAUCCUGCUUUUACUGAUACAAGUUCUAUAAAAAACUGUAUACAGUACGCAUCUUUUCGUCUGAAAAGUUCUUUUUUUUUUGGGGAAAAAACGUGGUGACUAUCAAUGGAAUCAUCAUUAAGGGAAGAGACAUACUAAAUUUGUGUCAGCCAUGUUGAGCAAUCUAAGGAGGACCAAUUUACGAUUUCGAACAUUUCUUGUCAGUUCUCAUAUCAUCACUAUAUGUCUCUAUAUAAAAUGGCGAGCCAUACCUUGCCAGCUGCCUAAGCUUGCCCCGCCCUAUAUGCCUUUAGCAACAAUUUGGUCAGUCUACACUAACGGGACAAUAAGUUAAAGACAGAUGAUUAGCUUGAAUUUUUUUUAACCACUGCUGCCAUUUUUGUCUCUAUUUUUAGCUUGUUUGUAAAUACAUGUAUAGUACACAUGUACAAUAGUUGUAUGGAACACUAAACUCGCUGAACAAACAAUAUCAAUGUGGCUACUAUUGCUCUUCAUGCUUCUUCAUGGUGGCAGUGAAAGUCAGAAACCAUAUUGUAGGGCCAGUGGAACCAUUUGUAGAACUUCGCACUAGUCAUAUCAUGUUUGACAAUUUGUAUUUUUUUUUUUUGACGCCAUUGCAUUAUAGCAAAAUUUACUAUUUUAGUAAUCAUUGCAAAAUUUACUUACUUUUACAAAUGAAGACAUGUGCCUUUUAGAAGUACUAUUGCUAUCAGCAUAGUAGGAAGGUAUUAGCUCCUUGAACCUUGUAGCUGUUUAAUUUUUCAUAAUAUUGUAUGUUCCAUCUUCUCCAGAACUGAAGAAUAGAACAAGUGCUGUGAAGCCUGGACAGUCAGUAGGCACUGCAGCCAUUGGCGGUCCAUUCAAGCUUCUGAAUCAUGAUGGGAAGCCUGUCACCGAGAAGGAUUUCUUGGGGAAAUGGACUCUUCUUUAUUUUGGAUUCACACACUGUCCUGACAUUUGUCCUGAUGAGCUCCAGAAAAUGGCUGCAGCGAUUGACAAAAUCAGUAUGUUAAUUUGAUUCUCUUGUUCCUUGGAUACAAGUAUCUUCAUAAAUCGUGUUUUUGCUGUUUAUUGUCUAUAUCAAUAUGUUCCUGUCUUAAUAAUAUGUAUAACAACAUUGUUAUCUUGCAUAAAAUUGUCACCUAGAAACUAGAAGGCAUGUUAUUGUACCAAAGUAAUAUGGUAAAUGAGCCAGAGUGAAAUGUACAUACAACGGUACUUGGUGAAAUUUCCACUGAAAUGCCUAACUAGAGCUAGUAGUAGACAGUUUUAAUUAGUAUAGUUUCAGUCAUUACAAAUCUGCAAUUAUUUUGCAGAGGAAAAGGCAAAAUUGGAUAUCGUGCCAGUUUUCAUUACAGUUGAUCCUGAAAGAGAUACUGUUGAGCAAGUUCGGGACUAUGUUAAAGGUGUGUGUCUGUGCAUGUCCCUCAAUUCUUAAUGCUUAUCAUCACUUAAAAUUGUUGCCCUUUGAACUUUAUUUAGUUCAUUUUAUUCAUUAUUGAUGAAUUUUUGUGUUUUUCAGAGUUCCAUCCAGAUCUGAUAGGACUAACUGGCACGACAGAUGAGAUAAGACAAGUUGCACGUGCUUACCGAGUUUACUAUAUGAAGACAGUGGAGGAGGGUUCUGACUAUCUCGUUGACCACUCAAUUGUCAUGUAUGUUGGUCUUAAUCUCCCUCUCUCUUGAACAAUGACUUUGGCUAAUUUUUAUUUUGCUAAUGUUCUGCAAUCGAGUUGAUUCUAGUUCUAUUAUAUGUUGUUGCAUGAUCUGGCAUAUCUACAACUUGCACUAGCAAAAUGAAGAAACCAGUUAGUUUGGCUAUUGCAUUCUGAAUAUGUCUUGCAGGACUCCAGCGGGUAUCCAGUAGUAACUUGCGAUAUACACGUUUGGAUGCUUUUUAGAGACCCAAUACUAGGAAUGUCUCCCAAUCCCAAAUUAACAAAGUAGGUGGCAGUUAUUCUCUUAGAACUCAUAGGGAAGGUAGGAGGCUUCUCAUUUGUUAAUACUGGGCCUCGUUCCAUCAUAAUGAUACUGAGAAAGUACAUACAUUCUGAUUUGUUAGAUUCUCUGUCAGUUAUAUCUUAUAUCCCCUCUGAACUUAUUGUAACUGUAGAAGCUUCUGAUUUAUUCUGCCGGUGCCACUCGGCAAGUGAUACUGAGAAGAUACACAUACGCCCUGUCAAAACACUGACUGGUUGCUCAUCUACUUUCAGGUACUUAAUGAAUCCAAAGAUGGAGUUUGUCAAGUUUUACGGCAAGAACUAUGAUACAGAUUCCCUUGCUGACGGUAUCAUUAAAGAAAUUAAAGAGCACAAGUAGUUGAAGUGCCACUCAGCAAUGGCACCCUAGUUUUCUGAAUCUCUCCCAAGAAUUUUGCCCAAAGUCAACAAAGACCAAAUGAUGCUUAAGAUAUCUGGUCACUAGAGGUUUAGGAUAUUUGAAUCUCGAGGCAGUUUAUUGCAGCAGAUUCCGGUGCACGCUUUGCCGCACAGAUUCGGAAAUCUGCAAAUCUGUUAUUUUGUUAUAGUGAACAUCUGCUUUGGCGACUGGCAACGUUAAUUGCGGAACGUCAUAUACUUAAUUCUGAAUUAGAAAGCACUUGCUAUCGAUUCAAGACGGCUUUAUCCUUAUGCAGUGGUGCUUGAUGGGAUGUGCAAGACGAAUAGUGAAAUACCAGUGAGUGAUGCCAGAUGGUGCGUGCAGCCUCCUCACUUGUACUCGCUGCUUUUGCGGCUUCCGUUCAAAUACAGAAAAUAAACUUCCAUUUCCAUACAGAGGAGACACGGAUUGGUUGGUUAGUCUAAGGUUAGAUUGCCGUGUGUUAGCAGUUGUUAGCAGCAUCUGUAUGGCUCUUGCUUAUGAACUGUAUGUACGUCACUCAGCGGCAGACAUUCUAUGCUGGUCCACGAGUUGCACAAGUAGUCGCGCAAAACAAAACUGCACAUGGCGCUAUGGCCCCAGUGCUUGAAUUCACGCCUCGCCUUUCUUCUCUCCCAGCUCCCUCGCUCAAACAGCGCCAUGUUUGCUGCUGCCAGAGCUCAUCGUCCAGACUUGGGUUUGGGUUCAGCUCCCUCUCUAGCAGGCGCCCUAGGGAAUGCGCUCAAUGGCCGGCCGUCCCGUCUCCUCGUUGACGUCGACUGGCUGGAACAGCUCCAUCAGAUGCGCGCGUUGGAGCCUGCGCGCCGCUCGACUUCCACGGCGACAUCAACGGGCGCGAGAACCAGACGCCCCUCCGAACGCCGGCCGGUGGAGCAACGGCCUAGCUAGUUGGAAGCGACUGAACCGACGCCGCCUCUGCACCUGCAGCCGGCGGAGAGGCCACCAGCGACCUCCAGCAGCGCCGUCGCCGCUCGCCACGCGACGCCAGGAAGGGGAACGACCAGGUCAAAAGCUUAACCAGUCUGCUCGCAUGGAGGCUAGCACCGAAUCAGGCGUCGAGGAGCAUGAUGUCGGCAUCGGAUCGGAGAUGACGACGACGAAGAAGAAGGCAUGGAGUGGGAGUGCGGUGCGCCGUGGCCGCGCCGCGUGUUGACCAAUGCCAGGGCGCGAUGGUGUCGUGUCGGGGCUCCGAUUCACGGGCGGCAGGGCAGGCAAGGGCAGUCUGGCAAAGUGGAUUCGUUCGGCAAGAGGCGUGCGUCGAUGUGGUUUCGGUACUGACUGUUCUCCUACUCCUGCUUGUGGUGCCCAUGGCCGCUGGUAAACACAGUACCGGUACAUGAGGGACAACAGGAGAACCCGUCAAAGUGAGUCAGAAAUCUUAUUUUAUAAAAAACCUACCAUUUGAAGCCGAGAAAGUAUAUAUAUGUUCUGUUAAAAUUAAAACACUAACUUUUUUGCUCAUAUACUUUUCAGGCACCUGAUGAAUCCAAAGAUGGAGUUUGUCAAGUAUUAUGGCAAGAACUAUGAUGCAGAUUCCCUUGCUGACGGUAUCAAUAAAGAAAUUAAAGAGCACAAGCAAACAGUAGUUGAAAUACCACUCUACAUGGCCGCAUAGUUUCCGAAAAAUUCUCUAGAAAAUUUUGUCCAAGUAAACAAAGACCAAUUGACGCUCAAGAUCAUCUGGUCACUAGCUGCUGUCUCUUCAUUUCUGAGAAUUAGGAUAUUCGAAUCUUGAUGCAGUUUAUUUCAGCAGCCACAGUUUUGAAGCAAAAACUAUCCAACUCAGCCCAAAAAAAAUGCACGCUUUUUUAUUUUUUUUAUGGUGGAUUUCUGUGGGCCUGUUCGCUUCAGCUUAUAAGCCGGCUGAAAAGCUGCAACAGCUGAUUUGUUGUGAGAGAAAAAUAUUGUUUUGUGGCUGAUAAGCCGGUUGAAUAAGCUGAAGCGAACAGGCCCACACACAUCCAAUAUAAUGUUCAUUGGGGAAUGCCAUUUUUGGCAAAAGUGUCGCACCUAAAUUGGAAUUUCUACAGAAAGUAUUAAGCAUUUAAAAGAUCAUUUGUCUUUCAAGACUGUUGCCGGCGUCUGUUGAGUGUGGAAGCAGACUAAGGAUUGUUUGGUUAGUCUUGAUCAAUCGGUUUCGGUUAGAUACUUAGAUUACCAUGCGUCAGUAGCAUUUGUAUCCCUUCAAAUAUGUGAGCUAGCAUUUUGUACACUUGCUACACUGUCUCGAGUCCUGACACUAAAGCAGUUGUGCGCGAGCCGCGAGCACGUACGGUGCUGCAGCGCAUGCGGAUCAAGGAUUCCCUGCUGCGGCCGGAGUACUUCCUGCCGUCGCGGAACAUGACAUGCCGGCGUGUCCUGGCGAGCCGUCAGUGACGGUUUCUGGAGGCGGCGGGCUGAACGCCACCGUGUCGGGAACGUGCGUGACGCCGUUGUCCUGCGGCGGCAACGCCGAAGGCAGCACCCACGUCAUCGUUAGACGCCGUCGUGCACGUUCUGGAUAACCCAGGCGCGUCGACGAGCUAGCGGAGCGCCGAGUGGUUGGAUUUGGCUACACGUACGUGUAUCCUGUUGAGGGGGGAGAACAAGCCAUACCGCCGUCUCGAGGAGGAAGAAGCCAUGUCGCCGGCAAAUCGACGCCGUCUCGCCAGAUCACGGGCUCAAGCCGGUAGGUGCGGUGGAAUCUCGAGUUGUAGUCGUAGGCGCUCAGCGAAUACCCACGAUUCUCUUGGUCCGCGAUGCCAUCUUCCAAGAAGUAGAUCAAGCCCGCCCGCUGCUUCCGGCGCUCCUCCGGCACGCGGACGUCGGCGGAGCACCACCGCCCCACAAGCAGCGCCAUGCCGUCGCCGAAGACGAGGCACGGCAGCCGAGGGGGCGAGCGGUGCUGCGCCGCGGACGCGCGCCAGGACCGGCACAUGGCGCCGAAGCAGAUGCGGUCGGCGUACGACGGCAGGCGGAGGAGGACCUCGCCGGCGAUGUCCAGCGGGAGGGCCGGCCAGGGCGAGCACACGGCUUCUUGCGCCGCCUUGGCGCCAUCAUCGUGCCGACUUAUUGCGUAUAGAUCGAUUGGUGUCACGACUGAGUAGUAUCUCUAGUCGCCGUGUCUUCUCUGUAUAUAACGAGAUCAGAUGCGUGCCUUCGCGCCACCAUGGCACCGUAUCUGGCUUCAAGCUCGGAAUCCGAAUUUGCCGCACGCUCGGUUUUCGGCCGCGCUGAGGACAGGUGGGCUACAUGGGCUGACGAUUUGUUACUUGGUCGGGGCCUGUGCACCGCGCUGGCGGGCCUACGUCGUCGUCGGAAGAUUUUCAAAUUCAAGCUUAACAACAAGCAGCUAGUAGUAAAAUUUUCUGCCAAUCAAUGUCGGUUUUCUUUCCGAUAAGGAUGUAACACGUAACGUCACAAAUAAAUAUUUUAAAAACAAAUUGAGAAGAAGAAAAUGACUGAAAAAAACA
This 61550-nucleotide long non-coding RNA is filed under the name Setaria viridis. RNAcentral describes it as "long non-coding RNA (SVIR_LNC000139)". Lineage: Eukaryota; Viridiplantae; Streptophyta; Magnoliopsida; Poales; Poaceae. The record is from RNAcentral.